AUCAUCAUCCUUCGCAUAGUAGGGCCAAUCCACAUACCUCAUAGAAAUAAUGGAGGCUUGUUCUUCUUACGCAGCACCACAGAACCAUAGAAAUCCAUGUGAAACUCAUUCCAGCAACGUGCGUCAAUCCCCUCCAUUUUAUCCCAUCUAAAAGGAUCAUGCCUCCUUUCUUCUUUGAGGGCCAAGGACAUCUUGUAAUAGUCAUUUCCCAACCUAGGAGUGUAUCCCAUAGGACAUGUAGGAGAGCGGAGAGUUGGGCAAUUUGUUAUCCGUCCUUUGAUCUUGGUCAAAAGUGGGAGUGAGAUGCUCUGGAGGUUGAGGACAAAUGUGAUAUGCUAUGCGCCGAUUUCUCUUGACUGGCGUAGGCUGAGGAGCUGCAUAGGAUGGCAUGACAUUUGGAGCUUUGGCAUGAGAAGAUCUACGGGAUAUUUCAGCUACCUUUUCUUUCCCCUUCUUCCUCUAAGCAACCACAAAUUGUUCUUCUUCAGAUUCUUCCUCCUCACACACCUCUUCUUCUUUUUCUUCUUCUUCUUCUUCUUCUUCACUCUCAACUCUAGGAGGAUUUGGAUCAUGCCUUGCCUUAGUUCUCCUUUGCAUUGUACUAGCAUGAGUGUCCCUUUUCUCCCUUCCCAUUUGGAUAAAGCAGAGAACAUGACCAAAAGAGGGAAAGGGUUAUGAAAAAUUCAAAGAAUAAUCAAUAUAAGAGGUUUGAUAUGCGAGUUAUGAAGAUUUCGAAAAAAUGUCCGGAGUUUCCACAAGUUGCGAAGAUUUCGGAACUCUUUUUCGGAAUAUUCUGGAACUCGCAGAGUGAAACCCUAACAUCUCAUACACAAUGAAUCCGUCAUGGGAUUGAUAUGAAAUUGAAGAUCCUAGGCCUACACAUGCUAGAGAAGAGUUCUAUCCAAAGGAAAUCCUAAGGGAUGACCUACAUUGAUAGAUUGAGCGAAAUGAUCUUGGGAUACCUUUGGAGUAAAGAUGAAGAAGCCUUCAAACUUGGAUUCCAAGAACACCACGUGAAUCCCCCGCUUGAUUGGAGCCUUCCUUGAUGAUAUAGCGAGUUUUAGGUGGUGGAAUCCCCAAAUCACCCGAGGGGUGGGAGGCGAGAGGGUAGAGAGAGAGAGAGAAGCCAGCGGUAAGAGUGAAAGAGAAUGAACCAGUAACUUCUCGGGGUAAAAAGUAAAUACCCGUUAAGUAACAAAAUUUUUCGGAAAAAGUUCCGGAGAUUUCGCAACUUCCGAAAUUUCCAGAAAAAGUUCAGGAGAUUCCGCUCCCCCUGGCUAACAGCCAUUAGAUUUGAGUGGAAUUUGAUUUGUGAUAGAUUUGAGCAUGAGUAGUUCUAUCACUUGAAACUAGCCAACAAGCAAUCAAUGAGAACAGUGAUCCAAGUGGUAGAGCUAAAUUAACUCCAAAUAUUUUUUUCAAAGUAAAACCACAUUUCAAAUUUGAAAAAGAUUUUCUUUUGAAAGCAAUCUAUCCUAAGUCACUCAAACAUGCACAUGAUUUCAAACCAAGUUACGAGAAUCCAAGAUAUUUAGUUCACUCCUCAAAGCAUAAAACCUUUGCUCAUUAAGGGGCUUUGUGAAGAUAUCGGCUAGUUGCAUUUUGGUGCUCACAUGGCUAAGAGCGAUAUCUCCUUUGGCUUCAUGGUCUCUUAGGAAAUGGUGUCUUAUGUCUAUGUGCUUUGUCCUAGAGUGGUUCACGGGGUUGUUUUCUAGCUUAAUAGCACUCUCAUUGUCACACAAGAGAGGUAUCUUGCUAAACUCACAACGAAAGUCUCUCAAUGUGAGCCUCAUCCAUAGUAGUUGAGCGCAACAAGCAUUUGUUGCAACAUACUCGGCCUUGGCUAUGAAUAGGGCAACGAAAUUUUGUUUCUUGAAACUCCAAGACACCAAGGACCUACCAAGGAAUCGACAAAUCCUGAAUGUACUCUUUCUAUCUACUUUGCAGUCAGAAUAAUCCGAAUUAGAAUAGCCAAGUAGAUUGAAAGUGGAGCCUUUGGGAUACUACAAGCCAAGGUUAGGAGUGUGUACUAGAUAUCUCAAGAUUACCUUAACAUCCAAUAAAUGACAUUCCUUAGGAUUAGCUUGAAACCUUGCACACAUGCAUACACUAAGCAUAAUAUCAGGUCUAGAUGCACAACGGUAAAGCAAGGAGCCAAUAAUAGACUGAUAUACCUUUUGAUCCACACUCUUACCAUCCUCAUUUGGAUCUAGAUGUCCAUUUGAUGGCAUUGGAGUCUUGAUGGGCUUGGCAUUCUUCAUGUCAAACUUCUUGAUCAUAUCUUGAGUGUUGUCGGUAUGAAAUCUAACCGACAAGUAAAUAUACGUAGUUUGCCGCGCGUUAUAUUGGAUAUGGCCUAGCACAGAAUGACUCAGGAUUUAUACUAGUUCGGGCAACGGACCCUACUUCCAGUCGGGGGUCAGUCGGUCGAUUGUAUUCCUGAGCCCAUAUGCUCGAAGUUUGCAGUGGGGGUACAAACGAGCGAGGAGUGGAGAAGGGGUGUUCGAGGCCCUGUCAUGCUCUAGUCCGGGUGGAGGAGAGCGACGGGGGCUCAAACGUGCGCUAAGUGUUGGAGAGAGUGUUCGAGUGCAUAUGAGUGUUGGAGUGUCUUGAGAGAGCCAGAGAGUCUUCGAUCGAUCGAUCGAGAGAGAGAAAGCGUGCCCCCCUUUAUAGUUCAAGGGGACGGCCUUACACGUCAGAGAGAGGGAGAGAAAAGGUGCACGGGCGCUGCCUAAUCUUGUCAGUGCCCACGUCAUCGGGUACGGGAUGGCCAUCAUCCUCCAUCCCUAUUCAUCUCAUCCGGUUGCUCUGUCAUGAUGGGCAAGUAGCAUAGUGUUUGCCUUACCUGGCAGGGCGGCACUAUGCGUUGCGUGCACAGGGCGUGGUGAGGCAGAGUCCUCUGUACGAUGGUUGACCUGAGUAUCUUCCCUUAUCUACUGCACCUGCUCCCCGGGCCCUAUGGUGGAACUAUCCAAAUUAACUUGGCUAAAGCAUACUCAAGUCGCUUGACAUGCGAUCAUGUACUUUAAUCAAGUCAAUUCGGUCGUCCAUCGGAUUUCAUCCGAUAAACCAUGUAUCUCUGGAUUGGGAAAGCAAGACUUACACGAAGGCGAGUGGUUACAAAGAUUACAACAGUCCAUCAUAAUUAAACAAGUGCAUUAAAUUAUCACAACCUCAAGUUCAAAAUUCAAACAAAGUUUGCAGAGUUCUCAAAUAACCGAAAUAACUGAGCGGAAGCUAAAUGUCAUUGCAUGAUAUCAUGAAGAAGCCGAUCAUGACAUCAAUGAUCCCGGUCCUUGCCGUCCGAGGAGGGAUCCCACUCAACCGUCCAACCAGGAGGAAGUUGGGGAGGCGAAGUUCCACUUGCAGUGAGCUCAGAGGCAUCAUCAUCACCUGAAAAGAUGUGCCACAACAAGGCUAAGCGACUACGCUCAACAAGACUUAACCGACCGGUGGUACUACUCCACCAACACCUAUACAUGCAAGCUUUUUGGCUCUGGGGUUUGUUUUUACCAAAAGCGACUAGUGUAGGCCCUUACUUUCAAUAUUUUAGCCACAAGUUCUACCGUUGUUUUACCAUUCUAGGUUAGCUACUAUACUAAACCAAGCAUGGUUUCCAAGAAAUUAAUACAGGUAACAAAUUUAGAUCAUCAGCAUCUUUCAUUCUUACUCAGUGUAGCAUAGCGAUCAAGUAGUCUCAAACUGUGAGAGGCAGACGAAUCGAUUUGAAUUGCUUAACCAUGCAUGGCAAACCUAGUCCCACGACAUCCCCGCACCACGAAGGGUUGCUUCAUUUGUCAGCCGUCCCCAUCAAUUCCUAGACCCGAGUCGAGCCCACUUCCCUUGGUACAAGGCUCCAUCGAUCCGACCUCUGCCGUUCUAUGACCGCACUUGUCACCACAUGCGGCCACAAGGGAACUCCGUUCUAGAGACAGUGGAACGAUCCGCUCACGUUCCGGUUCAAUCAGGUACUAGGCUUCCCCAUCCCAUACUAGGUAUGAGAUUAGUACUUUCAACACUUGAUCACGAACACUAUCACAUCUAGACCUUAGUCCAAUUUCAUGUAGACAGACGGGGCAAUCCACCGACCACCAAAAUAGUUCACAAAGCCCUGCCCCGUCCAUCGUCCUUAUAGUUGUAGCAAAAGGAAAGUAAACAACUCCUAUAACUCACGAGUGACAGUCAACACUUGACUUUUACCAAAUCCUAUUAAGCAUUACAACUACUCGGCCUAUCAUACUAGUAUUCAGAUCAAAUGGUACUAAGUCAUGCAUCUACGGUUUCAAUCAGCUCCUGGAACAUAAAUGCACAAUCAAGCAAUCAAUUGUAUUGCAAUAUUUAAAAAUAGGAAUUCAUGCUCCGGGGCUUACCUUCACACGGGGAGUUAGCAAACUGGUCUUCGGCUUGCUCCGGUAUGGGCUCGGCUCCGACUGGCUGCAGAUCAGCUACGGCUCCUUCUUCUGGCGCCGGGUGAAGCUCGUAUGUCCCGUCAGCGAGGUUCAGCUCUACACGAAAUGCAAAUGCAUCAAGUUCAAUUUCCAUGCUUUCUCAUAUAGGAUGCAAAACAUGAAUUAGCACGGAAGUAGAAACUACAUUAUGACCACAUUCACCUAAACAAGGUUCUACACCUUCUUUAUUUGCAUAAGGAAGGUGGGUUGUGGUACAAAGCCUGGGGUGGAUUUGAUGGUGAUUGUGUACAUAUAUACAACUGAACUUUAUUAACCUUUAGAUCGGAAAGGUAUCCUAUCCUGAAUGUUUUUUUCCUCUUCCAAAAAUUACCUUUAUCAUUAUUUAAGGUUUCUUUCUUUCAUUUAGCUAGGCUCAUCUUCCAAUUUUAUUUCCACCUUCAACAGCAAGCUAUGAAGCUAAUAAUUUACCAGUAACUUAACUUUGGCAAGGAUAAGCUACUGCAUAAAGUUGAGGUCCAUUGGAGGUGCAUAAAAAGAAUUAGCAUUACUUUAUUACCCUAAGGUAGCGUAUACUUAAAUAUUAUUAAAAUAGCAACAUGAUGAAACUGGUCAUGAAAUUUUAAUAGUAGGUUCCAGGGGUGAAAUAGAGCCUCUGGUGGAUUUUUCACAAUUUUUUUUAGUGAAGGGCAUCUUUUCCGAUACAUUCACCCUAUUUACUCUUCCCUAAAAAGGAAAGUGGUUUUUUCUUAUGCUUCUGAUCAGGUUCCAUAUUUUUCCUACAACCUACACUACACCACUGACCUGUUCCAAUUUGUUUCAUAUUUUUAUCAUUUCUAGUUUAAUUAUUAUGCAAAAGAUAAAAGCAAACUCAGAUUCCCAUGGUAAAACUAAAACAGAGAUUUAAACAUCUGAGCUAGGCUCUAAAUCAUUUUUCCAAGCUUCUACUCUCUGAAACAAACACUUGAGACUUGGAUUUACCAUUUUAGCAUUUUUUUGCAAUUUACUAUGAUUUAAAUGUCUUAAACAAGGAUUAAAACAUAUAACAUUAAUUCUUGCAGAGACAUGUGCCAAAAGUAUUUUUAUUUGAAACUACACUUUACUUUGAGUCUAGCAAAAUUGGUUUGACAUUUUCUGAAUUCUCUACGAGUUUUGGUGAAUUUUCAAAGUUAAAUAUAUAUAUUCUGCCGAUAUAAAAAGAUAAACCGCGGCAAACUUACGGUCUAGCCCCUAGGUAUACGGUUUAAUCGUGCAAAGGCCCCUAGUUUUGCACUAAAACCCCUGAUUCAACUUUCUCAAUCGCAAUCAGGUCCUCGGGCACGCGAUGGCGACGACCGGCCGAAAAUCCGGCGACUCGCCGGCGGCCUUGGGACGAUAAGAGGCCAGGAAGGCUUACGGGCUCACCUUGGGCCAGUUUGAAGCAGUUGGGGGUGACAGGGAGGCUCGGCCGAGGCAAAACACGGUGGCGGGCAGCGUGCGGGGUCUAGAACUGCUCGAGGGAGAGGCGAAGCGGCGGGUGGUGUCAGCGUGGUGCGGGGUUAAGUGGAGGUGGGGGGCUCACGGAGGACCAAGCGGCAGAGCGAAGAGCAAAGACAGGGGAGCUUCGGCGAGGCAAGGGAGAGCAGGGAAGGGGGCACCGGCGGUGCUGGGCUUCCAUUUAUAGGGCCAGGGCGGAGCGCCGAACGAGGCGGGGCCGUGGCGCUGGCGGGCGAGACCGGAGGGGAGCCGGGAAGCUGCUACGGCCAUUAAUGGUGGCGGCACCAUUGUCGGACAGAGGAGGGAGGGUGGCGCGGCACGCGAGGCAUGUAGGUGCGGGCGAAGUGAGCGAGCUUGCACGACAACACCGGCUUUGCUGGGACGCGUCACUGGCGAGGCGGGGAGGAGUUGUCGCGGCUGGGGUGGCAGUUGGCGGAGGCGGCAGCAGCCGGGCAGGCAUCCGCGGGGACGUGUGCUCUCGGAGAUACAAAGCACCAAAGUUUGGAGGAACGCCGGUUUUUCGGACUUAGUGAAAAUCAGCUGUUUGGCUGUUUUCAAGGUGUUUGGCUGACUUGAGCUUCUAUUUUGAAAAGUUUCGGAUGUGAAUUGGACUAGAGUCCAAUUGACAAAGUUGUUGCAUAAACUUAGUUCUCAAACUCUUAUAAAGAAUUUUUCUGAUGUUCAGUUCAACUUUUCAGAGAUAAGUUCAUGCCAAGAUGCAUGGUUGAACAGAUUCCUAGACUUGUCUAGAUUGCAAGUCUUGGGCUGAGUUAACCAAACUAGGUGACUUUGACCUAGCUUUUGAAGGCCUUCUAUGCAGAUUUAGAACUUACUCCUUUAGUCAAAGUUGUUAAGGUCUCGAAGCUCUAAAAGUUUGGUACAGAGCUCAUCUUGAUUUUAUAUUAGAAAUUUUGAAAUAAAGAGCCCCAAAGUUGGUACUUUAUCUGUUUUUCUUAAGCUGAAAUUGACACAGCUUUGUACUUUGAGUUUUUGAAGGUCUUCUGCUCAAAUUCAAGCAAAACACCAAAAUAAAAGUUGUUAGGAAAGUUGAGUUCUACAACUCUUAGUUGGACAGAUGUUUAAGUUCUUAAGAAAAAAUUUGAGUUAUGAUUUAAACAGCGGUUUAGCUUGUGAGGGGCACAAGCAUCUUUUUUACUUGGUUUCACAGCUGCCACUCGUUCUCUUAUGCUCUAAUAACUUUACUUAAGAUUAAACAUGGUUUAAUUAGGCUAGGUUGUUGCAGGCCCCUAUCGAGCGGGCAUCCCCGGUCGGUCUUGGGCUAGGUUGUCGCAUACAGACUCGGAUUGGGAUGUUCAAGCACUUCAUGGAAUCCUUAUGAAGUCUAUUUUCAUAUAGAUCUAGACUUAUGUCCAUAUCUGUUCUGAGGCGCCCGCAAUAAUCAAAUUAUUACCGAGAGGUUUUUCUAUCCAAGGUGCUGCGUCGCCUUAUUUUGGCCCAAUGGGCUGUGUAUCAAGUUGGGUCCAUUAUGGAUACAUCCUAGGGUUGGAUCAUAACCCCAACACCCUUGUGGUCAUCCUCCCAUGUUCUUAUACCCCUUAGCCACCACCAGGAACACUCAGGUUUUGUUUAGAUUAAGUUUAGCUUUUGCUACUUGCUUGUAAGCGCACAUGCUGGAUCAAUUGCCUAUCUUGUUGUAUUCGAAACCCCACCAUAAUUGAGUUUGAGUUUGAAACCUUCAUCUACAUCUAGUAAUUUAGUACUUGUUAUACUUGUUCUUGCUAGUUCUUCAAUUGUUUGCAGGACAAAGUGGUCGGGUGACGCCCUUCACAAGAUCACAACAGCCAUUGGAGGUGGUGUAUCGGUUGCUAAGGUGCAGUAUUUUUAGAAGGCUGUAGUUGGGCCGUGAACGUCAUCUCCAUCCACCAAUCGAAUUAUCCCCUUCCCUCUAAUCGAAAGAUUAGGAUUCAACCCAUGGGAUUCACAUCAGUUGGUAAUCAGAGCAAGGUUUAUCGGUGAGAGACUUCCAAUCCUUCUCUAUUUUAGUUUUCCUAUAGUCCAGAAAAGCUAAAAAAUAGUAGAUUAGUUCACCCUCAAUCCUAUAAAUCCUUUGAGCCUUUACUAGUACUGCUUAGUUAGGGCUUGUUGAGUUUUCAGUUGCAUCGGUUGUGUCGAGUUGCUAGUCUUAGUUUUAGUCCUUUAGAGUUUCAAGUUCUUGUCACGUUCUAGUCAUAACCAUGUGCUACCAUAUAAACCCCCUAUUGGCUGAAUCUGAGUACAUCUUUAUGUUCAAGUCUGACUAGGAAUUUGAGUUGUUUGAGUCCGAAUCCCAUGUGGUGUUGAAGUUCGAGUUGGAAUCGGGUUUGAGUCUGAAAUGGUUGCUGCACCAUGUUACCAAAUCUUGUUGCUGUUGCGCUUGUACUAGAUAUAUUGAAGUGUUUUAGAAAGGCAGCAGUAGUUCAUACCUAUACUCGACUUAUCCACGUUGUGCAUAUUCCAUAAGCUCGGCUUACAAAAUUUCUUUUUUACCAAAAUACCCUUGUAUUUUCGAAAAAAGUGUGUGUGGUGUUUCACUCUUGAGAAGCCCCUGUGUUUAUAUAAUUAGUUUUUGAGGAUCCCCUAAAAAAAGAAGAGAAAAGAAAAAAAAGGAAGAAAAUGGGUUGUUCGUUGUGCUUCUCUAUUCUUUCCGGUGGUGUGUUGUGAUGUCCUUUAUGUCCAGACUCGCACCUCUAGUACGGUCUAGGCUAGGACCAGCAAAGUACUGUCAUUGAAUGAUUAUUCAGUCUGCUUUUGUGACUAACAUGGUGCUAGUACUUCCUUGCUUCAGCCCACCUACAGCUCCACAUAUUUCAACUACAGCUUGACAGGUCUUAUUGCUGCGGUAUCGAUACACUUCGUUUUACAGUUGCAGACUUGUUGGUUGUUGUCCCCUCCUAUUGAGCAAGGUUAGAAUUGGUAAGAGCUUUUGAAACAGGUUGAGAGUGAGUGCCUUACAGUAGCUACAUCCUAAUAGAUGUAGGACUUUUAUUUCUUCACAUGUUUUCUUGUUUCCAUAGUUCUUUUAACCAUGGCAGGUUCUGAGGUUGGUGACAGUAUGCAACAUUCACCUUGCACCAAGGGCAUCAUACAACAUUUUGAAAGAUAGGUGAAGCUGUACACAGAAGGGCUCGAUGAUGACUUGCAGGUGAUGAAUGACAAGAUUGGGUAGUUGGAGGCCACGCAGAUUACCACCAACACCAAGCUUACAGGGGUGGAGAUGUCGGUUGCUCGUAUUGACAAAAGUCUUGCUACUCUUCUGAGGUGUUUUGACGAGGUGCAUGCCAAAACAAGAAGGAUGAGCAUGUCGAGGAUAAUUGAGAUGCUGAUACUGAACAAGAUGACCAAGACGCUCAUGAUCGCCGAUAGGUGAGGUAUAGGUGGUUACCAGCAACGUGAGGUACAUAAUAAUGAUGAUGCUUUCAAAAAGAUAAAAUUUAAGAUACCUCCUUUUGAUGGUAAAUAUGAUCCUGAUGCAUACAUUACUUGGGAAAUUAUUUUUGAUCAAAAGUUUGCAUGUCAUGAAUUUCCUGAGAAUACACAUGUUAGGGCUGCUACUAGUGAGUUCACUGAUUUUGCUUCUGUUUGGUGGAUAGAACAUGGUAAGAAAAAUCCUAAUAACAUGCCACAAACUUGGGAUGCUUUGAAAUGGGUCAUGCGGGCUAGAUUUGUUCCUUCUUAAUAUGCACGUGAUCUGUUAAAUAAGUUACAACAGUUGAGAUAGGGUGCUAAAAGUGUAGAAGAAUAUUAUUAGGAAUUACAAAUGGGUAUGCUGCGUUGUAACUUAGAGGAGGGUGAGGAACCUACUAUGGCUAUAUUUUUGGGUGGUUUUAACUAGGAAAUUCAGGACAUCCUUGCUUAUAAAGAUUAUACUAACGUAACCUAUUUAUUUCAUCUUGCUUGUAAAACUGAAAGGGAAGUGCAGAGGCGACGUGCUAGUACCAAGACUAAUAUUUCUGCAUACAUCAUGGAAGCCGCGCAUGACUACCUUUCUGACCGGACGUGCACCUCCGCCCUCUCCCUCCUCGAGUCAGCUGGUGCCACCUCCUCCGUCCAGCGACAAGCAAUGUGCUCCUCCCACAAAUUCAACAACCAAGACUGCCCAGAAGCCAUCCACUAAUGCCUCUUCUGUUGCAUCCAUGGGUAGAACAAGAGAUGUUUAGUGCCAUCGAUGCAAGGGUUUUGGACAUGUGCAGCAUGACUGUCCUAGCAAGUGUGUUUUGGUGGUCAAAGAAGAUCGUGGGUAUUCAUCUGAUAGUGAUUUUGAUGAAGAUACACUUACUUUGCUUGCUGCUGACCAUGCUGGUAGUGAGGAACAACCAGUAGAGCAAAUUGGUGCAGAGGAUGCAGAUCAUUAUGAGAGCCUCAUUAUGCAGUAUGUGCUUAAUGCACAGAUGGAUAAGGUGGAGCAGAAUCAGCGGCAUACACUAUUUCAAGCAAAGUGUGUCAUUAAAGAGCGUUCGUGCCGUUUAAUCAUUGAUGGAGGUAGCUGCAACAACUUGGCUAGCAGUGAUAUGGUGGAGAAGCUUGCACUUACAACCAAACCGCACCCACAUCCAUAUCCCAUUCGAUGGUUGAACAAUAGUGGUAAGGUAAAGGUAACCAAACUGGUAUGAGUUAAUUUUGCUAUUGGCUCGUAUCGUGAUAUUGUUGAAUGUGACGUUGUGCCUAUGGAAGCUUGUAGUAUUCUGCUAGGUAGACCAUGGCAAUUUGAUACAAAUUGUAUGCAUCAUGGUAGAACAAAUCGGUAUUCCCUCAUACACCAUGAUAAGAAAAUUGUUUUGCUUCCUAUGUCUCUUGAAGCUAUUGUGCGUGAUGAUGUUGCUAAAGCUACAAAAGCCAAAACUGAGAGCAAUAAAAAAUUCAAAUCUGUUGGUAGUAAGAAAGAUGAGAUAAGAUUAAAAGGAUAUUGCUUGCUUGUUACUAAAUCUUAUAUUAAUGAAUUGGUUGCUUCCACUUCUGUUGGCUAUGCUUUGGUAUGCAAAGAUGCUUUGAUUUCAAUUCACGAUAUGCAGCAUUCUUUGCCCCCUGCUAUUGCUAAUAUUUAGGAGUAUUCUGAUAUUUUUCCAAGUGACAUACCAGUAGGGCUGCCACCAAUACGAGGAAUUGAGCACCAAAUUGAACUUAUUCCUGGUGCAUGUUUGCCAAACCGUGCGCCAUAAAGAACAAAUCCGGAGAAAACAAAAGAAAUUCAGUGGCAAGUGCAAGAACUACUUGACAAAGGUUAUGUAUGUGAGUCUCUUAGUCCUUGUGUUGUUCCAGUUAUUUUAGUGCCUAAGAAAGAUGGAACAUGGCGUAUGUGUGUUGAUUGUAGAGCUAUUAAUAAUAUCACCAUUCGAUAUCGACACCCUAUUCCACGUUUAGAUGAUAUACUUGAUGAAUUGAGUGGUGCUAUUGUGUUUUCCAAGGUCGAUUUGCGUAGUGGGUACCACCAGAUUCGUAUGAAAUUGGAAGAUGAAUCGAAAACUGCUUUCAAAACUAAGUUCGGUCUAUAUGAGUGGUUAGUCAUGCCUUUUGGGUUAACUAAUGCACCUAGUACUUUCAUGAGAUUAAUGAACGAGGUUUUGUGUGCUUUCAUUGGAAAAUUUGUUGUAGUCUACUUUGAUGAUAUAUUGAUUUACAGAAAAUCUAUGGAUGAACAUCUUGAUCACUUACGUGCUAUUUUUAAUGCUUUACAAGAUGCACAUUUAUUUGGUAACCUUGAGAAGUGCACUUUUUUCACCGAUCGAGUAUCUUUUCUUGGUUAUGUUGUGACUCCACAGAGAAUGGAGGUUGAUCAAGUAAAGGUAGAAGCUAUACAGGGCUGGCCUAUACCAAAGACUAUCACACAGGUGCGGAGUUUCCUAGGACUUGCUCGUUUUUAUCGUCGUUUUGUGAAGGACUUCAGCACCAUUGUUGCACCUUUGAAUGAGCUUACAAAGAAGGCAGUGCCUUUUAGUUGGGGCAAAGUACAAGAGAACUCCUUCAACAUGCUAAAAGAUAAGUUGACACAUGCACCCCUCCUCCAACUUCCUGAUUUUAAUAAGACUUUUGAACUUGAAUGUGAUGCCAGUAGAAUUGGAUUAGGUGGUGUUUUGUUACAAGAAGGCAAACCUGUUGCAUAUUUUAGUGAAAAAUUGAGCAGGCCUGUUCUGAAUUAUUCUACUUAUGAUAAGGAACUGUAUGCUCUUGUUCACACAUUAGGAACAUGGCAGCAUUACUUGUGGCCCAAAGAGUUUGUUAUCCAUUCUGAUCAUGAAUCUUUGAAGCAUAUUCGUAGUCAAGGAAAAUUGAACCGUAGACAUGCCAAGUGGGUUGAAUUUAUUGAAUCUUUUCCUUAUGUUAUCAAGCACAAGAAAGGAAAGAGAAUAUCAUUGCUGGUGCUUUGUCUAGGAGAUAUACCUUACUGAAUCAACUUGAUUACAAAAUCUUUGGAUUAGAAACAAUUAAAGACCAAUAUGUUCAUGAUGCUAAUUUUAAAGAUGUGUUCUGCAUUGUAAAGAUGGGAAAGGAUGGAAAAAAUUCAUCAUUAGUGAUGGGUUUGUGUUAGAGCAAACAAGCUAUGCAUUCCAGCUAGCUCCGUUCAUUUGUUGUUGCUGCAGGAAGCUCAUGAAGAUGGCUUGAUGGGGCAUUUUGGAGCAAAGAAAACGGAGGACAUACUUGCUGGUCAUUUCUUUUGGCCAAAGGGAAGAAGAGAUGUGGAGAGAUUUGUUGCUCGUCGCACAACAUGUUAAAAGGCUAAGUCACGGUUAAAUCCAUACAGUUUGUAUUUGCCGCUAGCUGUUCCUAGUGCUCAUUGGGAAGAUAUUUCUAUAAAUUUUGUGUUGGGAUUGCCAAAGACUAGGAAGAGACGUGAUAAUGUGUUUGCGGUUGUUGAUACAUUUUCUAAGAUGGCACAUUUCAUACCAUGUCAUAAAACUGAUGAUGCUACUCAUAUUGUUGAUUUGUUCUUUUGAGAAAUUAUUCGUUUGCAUGGUGUGUCCAACACAAUUGUUUCUGAUCGUGAUGCUAAAUUUUUAGUCAUUUUUGGAAGAUUUUAUGGAAAAAUUGGGGACUAAGAUUUUAUUUUCUACUACAUCUCAUCCCGAAACUGAUGGUCAAACUGAAUUUGUAAAUAGAACUUUGUCUACUAUGUUAAGAGUUGUUUUAAAGAAUAAUAUUAAGAUGUGGGAAGAUUGUUUGCCGCAUAUUGAAUUUGCUUAUAAUCGCUCACUGCAUUCUACUACAAAGAUGUGCCCGUUUCAGAUUGUUUAUGGUUUGUUGCCUAGUCUACCUAUUGAUUUAAUGCCUUUGUCAUCUUCUAAAAAAUUAAAUUUUGAUACUACUAAGCGUGCUGAAUUGAUGUUAAAACUGCAUGAAACAGCUAAAGAAAACAUAGAGUAUAUGAAUGCUAAAUAUAAGUUUGCUAGUGAUAAAGGUAGAAAGAAACUAAUUUUUGAACCUGGAGAUUUAGUUUGGUUGCACUUGGGAAAGGAUAGGUUUUCUGAAUUGAGAAAGUCUAAAUUGAUGCCUAGGGCUGAUGAACCAUUUAAAGUGUUAGAGAAAAUUAAUGAUAAUGCAUAUAAGCAAGAUCUGCCUGCAGAUUUAAGGGUUAGUCCCACAUUUAACAUUGUAUAUUUAAAACUAUAUUUGGGAGAAGAAGAUGAGCUUGAGUCGAGGACGACUCAAAUACAAGAAGGGGCGGACGAUGAGGACAUCAACAUCAAUGAUACAUCCACGCCGACACACGUACCAAUUUCUGGUCUCAUUACUCGCGCUCGUGCUCGUAACCUCAACCAUCAGGUGAGUACACUCUUGAGUUCAUGUCCAUCAUAUUUAGACCAUGGAGACAGGUGCACUCUUAUUUUGCUUAGGAACCAGGGAGAAAACUGAAAGAGAAAAGGAUUCAAGCAAGCUGGAUUCGGACUGCAGAACAAUACCAACUUGUGAUGAUCACCACAGUCGCAUACGGACUUGGAUUGGGGCAUUCAAGUACUUCAUAGAAUCAUUAUGAAGUCUAUUUUCAUAUGGAUCUAGACUCAUGUCCAUAUCUAUUCUGAGGCGGCCGCAAUGAUCAAAUUACUACCAAGAGGUUUUUCUGUCCAAAGUGUUGCGUCGCCUUAUUUUUGCCAAAUGGAUUGUGUAUCAAGUUGGAUCCAUUAGGCAUGCAUCCUAGGGUUGGAGCACGACCCCAAAACUAUUGUGGUCAUCCUCCCACAUUCUUAUACCCCUUAAUCGCCACCAAGAACACUCAAGUUUUGUUUAGAUUAAGUUUAGCUUUUGCUAUUUGCUUGAAAGCGCGCGUGUUGGAUCAGCCGCUUGUCUUCUUGUCUUCAGAACCCCACCAUAGUUGAGUUUGAGUUUGAAACCUUCAUGUACAUAUAGUAAUUCAGUACUUGUUAUACUUGUUCUUGCUAGUUCCUUGAUUGCGUGCUGGACGAGUGCCCUAGUGGCUGGGUGACGCGCUCCACAAGAUCACGACAACCAUUGGAGGUGGUGUAUCGGUUGCUAAGGUGCAACAUCCUUGGAAGGUUGUAGUCGGGCCGUGAACAUCAUCUCCAUCCAUCAAUCGAAUUAUCCCCUUCCCUCUCAUUGAAAGAUCGGGAUUCAACCCAUGGGAUUCCCAUCAGUUAGUCCUAAGAUGUGUUCCCCCUUUAGAAGCUUCUUAAAAUUAUUCAUCCCAACAUGAGCUAGCCGGCGAUGCCAAAGCCAACUCAAGCUAAACUUUUCCAUCAAACAUGUAUCAAGUUGAGCUUUAUCUGAGGUAAAAUUCACUAGAUAAAGCUUUCCCUUGAGUUCACCCUUGAAAAAAAUGGAGUCAUCUCUUCUUCUAAAGAUGGUCUAACCCUCAUUAGAGAGCAAACAAUUGUAACCCAUCUCGCAAAGUUGUGACACGGAUAACAAAUUGUAGUGCAAAGAUUCAACCAAAUAAAUAUUGGAAAUUGAAUGAUCGGUUGAGAUAGCAACUUUACCUAGACCAAUAACGGUUCCUUCAUUGUUAUCACCAAAUAUGAUCUUCUCUCUUGGAUUUUUCUUCAUUUCACAUGAGGAGAGCAUCAUUUUCUCACCGGUCAUAUGAUUUUUGCAUCCACUAUCAAUCACUCAUUUUAUUCCACCGAUGGAGUACAAAACAAAUUAGGCUUGUGUUUUAGGUACCCAAUGACACGUGGGUCCUAAAGCAUUAGUCACAAGAACCUUGGGCACUAACACACUCCUUUUGAUCAAUGUGUCCUUGGUGCAACACCCCACAUACUUGGCUAUCACCUUACCCUUGUGAUCCUAAGUCAACACAUAAUCAGCAUAGAAACCAUUUUGUGAGGCAUAUAUCUUAGGCUUCUUAGCUUGUUUUGGUUGAGUGACCUUUGACUUGACUAGAUAGGCAUGGUGUUUAGCUUGUAUUUCUUGAUAGUUGUAGAAUUUGAUGGGCUUGUUGUACUUAAGUUGCUUGCCAACAACUCUUGCACCUAGUGGCACUAUACCAUGCACCACCUUCUUUGACCCCAUGCUCAUGGUGUGGUUUUUCUUCACGAAUGGAAUUGGAUCAAGUGAGCCUUUCUCAUACUUACCUAGUCCCUUGCCAUCCUUAAAGCCAAACUUCUUCAUGUAGUUUUACCCAAAGCCCUUUGUGUAAUUCUCAAACUCACCCCUUUUGGAGGUACUCUUUUCUUCAUUCAGGUGUGAGUUUGACAACCUAGCAAUCUCUUUCUUCCUAGCAUUCAUUUUGGCAAUGUUAGUAGCACAAGCAUUAACAACAAUUUUAUAACAUCUUGUAUAAACAUUGUUGUGGAGGCACUAUAAGAUAUGGAUGCAUCAUUAGAGUUGGAUAAGUUACUUUUCUUAAGAGUGUUGAGUUGGACUUCAAGUGCCGUGUGAUUGGCUUUCAAACUACUAAGGUUCUCUUGAAGUUCAACCUGUUCAUUCCUAAGAUUAGCACUAGUGCCCUUAGCUAAGGAUAGUUCCUUAGUUAAUUCUUCCACUCUCAUCUUCUCUUUAUCAAGAUAUUUCUCAAGGCUAAGAAUCUUAUCUAUUCUAGUCUUUAGCAAGUCCUCUUGCACCUUGAAACCCUUCUUUUCAUUUUCAAAGGAAUUCUCAAGAGCAAUGGUUUUCUCUCACUCAAGUCUAAGUAACUCUUCUUGUACCUCAAGAGUCUUAUCCCUAUCUUCUAUUUCCAUCAUUAGUUUCAUUAUCCUUUUAGUAGCACAUUUACCUAAACCUUUUAAUAUUUUUUCAUCAUCACUAUUGACAUCAUCAACACAAGGUGAAUCGGAAUCUACCUUGGGUUCUGUAGCCAUGAGACAAGUGUGGGUGAAGUCAUCUUCAUCAUCGGUGAGAUCCUCAAAUAAAGAUGACUUGGAAGUUAACACUCCAAUAGCCAUUGUAGCCAAUCUAACUUCUUCAUCGGAGUCCGAUCUUUCUUCAUUUGAAUCCCAUUCUUGACCCAAGUGAGUUUCACCAACGUUUUUCUUCACAAACUUGGAUGAUUCAUUUUUCUUGAUAUUGACUUCCGGGCAAUUUGCAAUGAAAUGACCCUCCUUGCCACAUCCAAAGCAUGGCCUCUUUAACUUUCUUUUUAUUUUGCUCUUAUCUUUGUUCUUAUCAAAGAAACCACCUUUCUUCAUCACUUUCUUGAUUUUUCUCAUGAACAAGAUCAUUUCUUUCUCAUCCAUAUUUUCACUAUCACUAUCAUUACUAUCAUCCUUGGUAACUACAUUGUAUGAUGAGCUUGCUCCCUUUUUUUGUUCUUGUCGAUUGCUUUGAGAGCUACUCCAUUUUUCUUCUCUAAUUGAUCAUGAAUCUUGGACAUUUCUUAGGAUAGCUUGAUUUCCUUGACGGUAAUAAGAUUUUCGUCAAUUCUUACAAUCACAUCCGCUGGAGUGAACUUCUUGAACCCUCUCUUCUCUCUAAGCAAGGUAGGAAGUUGAACAUCUCUAGCCAUAUAAACUGAUAGAAUCUUGUCAACCACUUCUCUCUUCCCCAGUUGUCACUUCCAAGAGACCUUAUCUUGUUAACAAUCUUGUUCAACCUAUUGUACAUCUCUUGUAGUGUCUCAUUUUCUUUAAUGAUGAAGCAGUUGAGUUCACUUUCUAGUUGUCUUAUCCUUCCUUCUCUAAUUUUUCUUGUUCCUUGAUGAUUAUUGAGAAGAGUGUCCCAUACUUCCUUAGCGGAUCGUAAUCCAUCGAUCUUGUCAAAUUCUUCGGCACAUAGUGAGUUCUUGAUGAGAUGUAAAGCUUGGAAGUUACGUUGAAUGUCGAUUGCUUGAUCUUGUGUGAGAGGAGCAUCUCCACAUGGAAAGAUGAUACAUACAUCAACAACUUCCCAAAGCGUAGGGUUGACCGUCAUCAAAUAGUCCCUCAUCGAAUCUUUCCAAGCGGAAUAGCUUACCCCAUUGAAACGAGGUGGCUUUCCCAGUGGGAUGGACCCGGAUGAGGUGUUGAAAUUUAAAUGACUAUAAUUGAAAGAGAUUUGGUAAAACUCCCUUUGUGAAGCUUGGCGUCCGGAGCGGUUUGAUCUUGCAUCAUCAUAAUACGAGUCAUUGUCGGAAGAUUCUCCAACUUCUUCAUUCCUUGGCUUUGCACUUGUGCUUGCUCUACCAGCAUCUCUUCCUUGAGCAAUUGUUUGUGCACCUUGUGGUAGAACGGGAUGUUGCACUGCAUUUGGAUAGGUUACAUCACCUCCGGGUGGCACCUCCAGACCUCCCGUUGUUUACAUCUUGAUACUCCAAGCGGUUAUGCUUCAAUUCGGAGACCAAAGCUCUGAUACCAUUGAAAGGAUAUAGGAUGUUAACUAGAGGUGGGGUGAAUAAUCGAUCCUGAAAUUUUCCACAACUUAAACCAACUUUGUCAGUGAGUUCUGAAGUUUCCAAAGAUUUUUCCAGAAUCUCCGAAGAAAUCUACGGAUUCUAUGGAGAUUUAAGAAGAAAUCAACUAUGCCUUAUGCAGACCUUAUCCAAAAUUAAAUCGAUGAAUAUAGGUUAUAUAACAAGGUAUACUGAGCCUGAAUCACAUGGUAGAAACACUAGCAACCCUCUCAAAAAGUAGAUCAAUCACAAACCCUAGGUAUGAACUCUAUGCUAGAAUAUGAACGAAAUGAAGAACAUCAAGCACAAGACACAAGGAUCCGUUUACCGGAGUUCAGCUCCACACUUGAAGCCUACCUCUCCAUUGAGGAACCCACAAAGGGUGGGCCUUUGACACCUAGGUCACUUUCCUCACUCUAGCGACCACAAAGAUCAACCUAGAGUCACAAUCAUGGAUGCUCCACGGGCAAUGCCUAGCCAGCUAGGAGCUUGAAGCUUCAAGAGUAACAAACAUGAAAUCACCGGCUUGACAAAGAACAAGGUGCUUAAGUUAGGUCCAGAGAGAGGCUGAGGGAGGGGUGAGGGGGUAUUUAUACCGCUUCACCCCGAAACUAGCCAUUGGGGGUUAAGUUCCGGAGUUUUCUAGAACUUUCUCUGGAACCUCCAGUAUCUUCUGGAACUUUCUCCGAAAACUCUGGAACCUCCAAAAUAUUUCGGAACUUUCUCCGGAAACUGUGGAACCUCCGAAAUAUUUCGGAACUUUCUCCAGAAUACUCUGGAGCUCUCAUUUCAGCACUUUUCUAAGUAUCCCCAUGUGAAGUGCAGGUGUAAAGGUGUCUCUCAUAGGUUGGCUAGUUUAUCUUGAGCACCUUUUCCAAUGUAAAGACCAAAGAUUACGCAUUCCUCUUAAUAGUGCGGCAUUCCUAUACACAAAUUUAAAUCAAAAAUAAAUUUAGCCUUCAAGGUAUGCCUCAUAUUCAUUCAUUUCCUUUAUGAGGGUCAUCCACAAGUGCUACAUGUCCACCAAUCAUUUUAAACCUGCUCGUGCACUUCAAAAUUCAUUAGUCACUUAAGCUUGUGUCAUUAAUUCACCAAAACCCACUUAGGGGACAAUUAUACUCUUCAUGAUGGUCAUGAAUUUGGCCAAUGCUGGUCUUCCAAGAAUGGUGUGGUAUGAUAUUUCGAAGCCCGCCACCUCGAACCGGAUGUAUUCUGUCCGGUAGUGUUCUUUGGUCCUAAAGGUAACUGGCAAAACCACUUGUUUGAGGGGUACAGCCGCGUUGCUCGGGACGAUCCCAUAGAAUGGAGAGUUAGUUAGGGUGAGCAUAUCGGUGACAUUGAGGCCCAUCUUCUUCAGUAUCUUGGCGAACAGGAUGUUGAGACCGCUACUGAUGUUGAUGACUACUUUAGUAAGUCUAGAGCCAGCGACAACCGGGUCCAGGAUACGGGGAUACCAUCCUGGGUCUGAGAAACUAGUCCAUUGGUCUUUCAUGUAGAAGGUAAUUGGUACCUCGGACCAUUUGAGGAAUGUUGGCAUCAAAAAUUCAACGGACAUUAUCUCUCAAAGAGUGAGCUUCUGGGACCGCUUAGUAGCAGUACCCGGGGUUCCGCUGAAGAUGACGUUGACAGUGUUGGAUGGGUUCUGAAACUUGCUAUUGUCACCAUCGUCUUCGGCUUCCUUAGCCUUGCCCUUGUCUUUGGUGCCAGAUGGCUCUAGCAGGUCCUUCAUGACUCUUCGUAGACUGAAACAAUCUAUCGCAGAGUGCUUGUGGUAUGGGUGCCAUGGGCACUGUUUCUUCAGGAACUCGUUGAACAAGGGUCUUUUUGAUUCUUGCCGCCACCUUUCUUGGAUAACUGCAAAAUUGCCGUGACAGUAUUGUCUGGCUUGCACUUAUGGUUGUGACCUCCUGAGUAGUUAUUUCGGUUGUCAUUGCUGGGGCGAUCAUCGAGAUUCUUGUUGUUGUGUUGGCCAUUGUUCUGAUUGUUGUUGUUCUAGACCUUGUUGAGAUUGGACUCUAACCUUUCAAUCUCUCUGUCUUCUUCAUCUACCAACGUCUAUACCAUGAUCUUAGAAGAUUUGACAUCAGCGAGAUGUCUUCUGCCGAAGUCCUGGAACAUCCGGCGGUCGUGGAGGCUGUUCUGGAAGCAGUCAUUAACGUCGCGCUCUGUGACAUCUACGAUUGUGGCCUUGUUGUCGAAGAAGCGAUGUAAGUAGCUCAAGCAGAAUCUCACCUUCUUGUUGUUUAACUUGAGACAAGUCGAUACUAUUGCCAGGACGCUGCAUUGCCCCUGCGUAGUUGUUGGUGAACACUACCUUGAGGUCCUUCCACGAAUUGAUGGACUUCUUAUCAAACGAUUCGAGCUAUGUGAGUGGCGCCACCUCCUUGCAGAUGGGGAAUCAGAUGACUUUGGUGUCAUUGUUUUCCACAGUUGCUUGUACUGACAGCGAGUAGCACCGGAGCCAUUGGACUAGAUCCUACCUGCCAUUGUACUUGGUGAUACCCAGGGGUUUGAACUUUUUGGGUAGAUUUGUCUUCCUCACACGUCUUGUGAAGGUGGGGAACCCGUUAGUAUGAUCUCCUGUGUGUUCGACUUCUUGCUCGCGUUCGACGCGUCGUCUGUCGAUGAUAGUACAAGCAUCGCAGCUGGCGUUGAUCUUGUUGCGGAGCUAUCCAACUGGGCGUUCAGGCUCUAGGUUAGCCCCAUGGUGGCCACGGCCUCCGAGGAUCCUGCUCGACUACCUUCAGCUCCAGCUUGGCUUGGUUUGGCAUCUCCGAGUUGACUUGGUCUGGAUGGAGGGCCUCUAUGGUUGCAGCCAUCUUGAAUUCGCUCGGAUGGGGAGCAUUGGAUGGACUGUAUCGGAUUCUGCUGAUCGAGUUGUUCAUACACGAGUUCCGCCAGAUCAGCCAACAGUCUUGUGUACUUGUUAAGAGGCAUUGCGAGGGUGAUGAGAUCAAUAGACGCGACGGUAGCCAGGGGAGUAUGAUGCUGACGCUUUUGAACUACUUCAAAGAUGUUAUCCAGGUUCUGGAUUGGUAGGUCCGGUGCAAGGCAACGGUGACGCUCUGUUGUUGCGGUGUUUCUUACUCGUCGUCGAGUUCUUUGAGCUUUGGUUGCUUCUCCAACAAUGUUGACAGUGAGUUCAUCCUGUGAGACGUCAUCCGGGUGAUGCUCAUGCUGCAGGUUUCUGUCUUGUUGCUCUUAUUCUAUGUCCUCUUGUCCAGUAAUGACGGCGAAGUGUUCUCGCUCUAGAGGGUGGCUUCCCGAGCUUGAAGUGAUGACCACCGUAGUGCCACCUUCCUCAUAGAUGGGAGAUAGAGGACCUUCCUCCUGGUACGAGAGAGUGUCGAGGUAGGCGAUGAGGCGUGAAUCGUCAUCUUUGGCAAGAGCGGGUGGCUUCAUGUUGGGCCAGUAGACGAAUCUGCCUUGGAAAAUUGAUGUGAUUACCAAGCCAUGCUGCGGACCUGAUAAAGGAGUCUCCUCAUCCGGAUCUGAGUAGUAGUCGAGGUUCUCAAUCAUAUCCGUAUCGAAUUCUGAUCUGGACAGGGCAUCCUGAUGAAUAGUGGCCGCAUUGCAGAGUCCAAACGGGAAUUGACUCGGGUAGUAGUCUGACUCGCACGAUGGCUUAUGUGCCGGCUCAUGGAAGUCAAUCCAACUGGUGGAAGAAGUUGAGUUGAACUUGGACUCGUCCCCCUAGCCUCUUACUAGGUUAGAAAUUGAAAAUUCAUCGAAAUUCUCGACGAGAUCCUCCGAGCUUGGCGCUAGAGCUUCAUGGUUUGCUGCUUCUUCUCCGGGGUCGACGCAAUGUGGCAGUGGAAAUUUCCAACGUCGUCUGCGAUGCAAACCUAGGAGCCGAAGACAAACAUCGCACCUGCUUCGAACGCGAUGAUUGGCUUGAUGAUGACUUGUGCCAUUAAGUUCACCAGUGGAUUCUCGACGAGGUCCCCUACCUGGCGCGCCAGCUGUCGGUGUUUAAACCCGAAAACCUACCGAGGGGGGUGCCCGAGGUAGUGUUUUCGUUAGUGGGCCUCGUCAACAUCAAGGACUCGAAGGUAAACAUAGGCACACGAUUUAGAUAGGUUCGGACCGCUAGAUUGCAUGUGUGUUGGUUGGAUUGAAUUGCUUUGGAGAGGAUCUAUGCCUCGCCUUAUAUUGUUGUGGCAGGGUUAUAGGUCAGUUGGUUACAAGAAUACUAGUCGGAUACGACUAAAGGGGUUCUACUCUUAUUACAAUGAGUACUUUUCUAAUCCUCGACUAGUUAUAGCCUUUCCAUGUAGACUACGCCGUCAUGCACCAUGGUCUCCAUGUUGGAUGCAUCUCGGUGUCCAACCCCAUAUUUAAGAUCGUCCAAACCUUCUGGUGGGACCAUAUUUUAUGUACGACAUACCACGGGCUGACCUCCUUCCUCACCAUCUCAAUGGCUUGUUCUAAGUCGUGGCGGUGCCCGACUGACUAUGACUACACAUCUUUCUUCUCAAAACCCUCCACAGGGCGGCUGAUCAACGCCCACCUCGAUUGAAUUCUUGGAUGAUACGAAAAACAACCCCAUUAAGGAUUACAACAAUGACCUCCUCUUGCCUUGGGAGCUUGUGGUUAACCCUGCCACGCAGAAACGGGUUCCCUUGCCUUCGUUCUUGAACCCAGCAUGUAUCGGGAUAGAGCGCUUCUACAGUUGCUUUUUUCUUGCGUGCGAUCCCAUCGCGUCACCACAUCAUCAGGUUGUUCUUUUCCCAUAGUUCUCUUCGUAGAAGCUAACAUCAAAUUCAAGGAUGUGCCAGAAUGGUCAUCGUCUGCCUUCACGACGCAAAUCUUCUCGUCGAGGAAAUGGAGGUGGGAGGAGAGGUCAUUUGUUCAGCAAGGGUAGGCUGUCAGGAGGUACCAUUGCCGAUAUGCGCUACAUGGAGCAAAUACAUGAACGCCAAGCCGUCUAUUUGCGGUGAGUAUGUCAUGCGCAUUGCCAAAAUAACUGUUGCGAUACAAAUCCAUCCAUUCACUGCUUGAGCAUGUAUAUGAAUGUUUUAUUGAGAAGUGCUCCGGUACUCCUUUUUAAAAAAGUAGCAUGAAUCCUAAAGCAUACUUAAUUAAUUAAGAAUAUUAUUUAUGAUGUUUACUUGUAGGUACCUUCCUGGUUCCGGUCCUCACCUGUCCAAUCCAGCCCAGCCCAUCCAAAUAAACACACAAUCUAAUCACAUGCAUCUGUGGCAAGAAGUACCAGUGAACCCUAAUACGUAAAAUUAUAGCUAGUAUGACAAAUGGUUAAAACAUAUUAUCGAUUAAACUAGCAAAUUGAACUCGAUUUACAACUUUAGAGAUCAUAUAAGAAUUUUUUUCCCUUGUAGCUUUUGUUGUCAACAAUAGCCUCUGGACAUUUUCCUUAGAUAAAGAACAUGGAUUGAAUGCAAACUCAAACAAUCAGAACUUGGGUCAUCAACAUUCAGAUCAAGGAAAAUUAUCUUUAUAUAGCCAGCAUCAUCUUCUUUGUCCAUGGAUGAGUGAUUGUUGGACAAAUCUAUUCCUCCCUGCGUAUCUACCGAGCCGACUACCAUCGACGGAUCAAAUCCACAGCCUCACAAGCUAUUAAGCCAAGAUGAGCUCACGGGAAGGGAUAUUUUUUUCAGGGUAACUGAGGAAAGAUGGGCUCAUGGAACUGAUGAAAUGGAUGAAUAUGGUAGCGGAGGCAGCUGAUCUGCAGACAGUUAGGCCAAGGGGCGUGCCGAAAGAGAGAUGAUGUUUAUAUACUAUUCAGAGAGCUGUGGACGAGGAGUGCCCUUGGAUGACGGAGACGGUGGUGGAGUCUCCGGCAACAGGGAGGCGCCGUGACGGUGCAUCUAGACGUCCACGCAGCACGACGCGAGCGGCGGCGCUGCUAACACGAAACAUGUUUUUGUGAACUUGGGCUGGGCUGGGCUAGCUGAUGCGUUAGGCUGGAUUUCAGAUCUUCACAUUAAUUGAAAAUGAUAAUAAGAAUUUUAAUUGUGCUUUGUUAUUCAUGCUAAUCAUUUAGAAAGAGAGCCAACAUCUAUCAAAUUCUUUGAUGUAUUCUGUAACAUCCGUAAAAAUCACCAACUUAAAUCACCCGCAAAAAAAAAAUUCAAAAUCUUUUUACCGUUGAGCUCCCGAAAAUCCCGUCUUCUCGGCGAUUUCGCCGUCCCGGCACCCAAAGCCGACAACCAUCAUUUUUACCCUCUCCACAAAUUCCACCGCAUGCCGGUCGACAAACCGCCGCACGUGCUCCGACCGUUUUCCGCAUUUUCCGCCGACUCUCCCUUUCUUUUUUUCUCUUUUUCCCCUGUUCUUUUUUCUCUCUUUUCUUUUUCUUCCUUCUCUAUCUUCCUUUCUUUCUUCUUCCUUUCUUCUUCUUCCUUCCUUCUCCUUUCUUCUUCCUGGCCGCAUGCGCCUGCCCCGUCCUACGCACCGCACUGACCCCAGGCCCACCUAGCGCCACUUCCCCUGGCGCCGCCCCCUCUCCCUGGCCCGCCUAACACCCUCCUACCACACAUGCCUCGGACCCCCCUCCUCUGCCUCGCCUGCCGCCCCUAGCCCUUGCACCCGCGUCGCGCCGGAGAGCCGGGUCGCCCACACCGACCCCACCCCUGGCCGCGCCCGGCCCCGCACUGAUGCCGCUCAACGCCCAGUGCGCCAACAGCCCCUGCCAUACGCCGGGCCCAUCGCUACACCACCGGCGGCCCCCUACUGCCGCGCCACCGGCACCGCACCAAGACGCCGCCCGCCGCCGCACCUGGCCCCGGUCCCCACCACCGUCGGCCGCUCCCCCACUCCUUCCGCCGGCUAUAAAAGGGGGCGACACCCCGGCCUCCCUCGCCACUCAUCUCCCCAGCUCACCGCCCCCUCUCCAGAACGCCACCCUCGCCGGAGCUCCGCCCGAGCUGCCCCAUGUCCACCACCGGCCCCCUCGCUUCCUGUCGUCGAUUCACCAAGGUGAGGACCAAAAUCGAGUCCCCACGGCCUCCUCUACCUUUCACCGCCGCCAAUCCUUGCCGCCGGCGAGCCUAGGCCGAUCGGCCCCCACCAGUUUCCCCUCCUCUCUCCUCUCCAAGUCACGGUUCAAAGGAGGAGGAAGAAAACCCCCUCCAAUUUCGAUCUAACCCCCAGCUCUUGUCUAUUCACAAAACAGCCCUCUCACCUCUCUCAAACUCUUUUCAUAGAUCAGCCCUUCCACCUCCCAAAAGUAUUUACAAACAAGUCCCUGGUUCUCGCAGUUUAGUCCUAAAACUUGUUUUAAGCCCCUAAACACACGGUUAUCUCGUCAUUUCAUGCGCCAAACUUCCUCCAAUUAACCCAAAAUUCGACCACGGCAUCUUCCAAUAUACUUCCGCUGAGUCAUCUCCAAAUCUCAUGAAAAUACUCAUUCCUUCUAUUUUCCGUUCGCGUUCUCUGUUCAAAGCUCAACGGGUAAAGAUUUAAUUUUCUUUUAUUUAUUGUGUGCCCGAUUGUGUGUGCCGUAGAUCGUGGAGUACCCGAGGAGGAGCCUGAGGAGGAGUUUGACCGUGAGCCCGAGCCCGAGGACCAGCCCCACGAGCAAGAACUCCCAGCCAACUACGAGGACGGCAAGUCCAAUCUCACUCUUUGAUGCAUAUUUAUCCUAGUUUUUCAAACACAACCUAUUGGCUUAUUUUAUAAAAUUGCAUAUUGUUUUACUGCUGAAACACGGUUGGAUAUACACCCCUUGAUUGCUAUGAACAUUCCUUGAUUGUCCUAUAAUUAUCUCUAAAUAUGAUUUGCUCUGUUUGGAUUAUAAUUACUGCUAGAAUGCUUAGGACCUUGUUACUCAAUUCAAUCAUGACUGCAAUGGUUUAUUUAAAGAAUAAAUGUGUGAGUGUUUUCAAAUGAGAAAAAUGGGUUUUCAGAAAUAAAGAAAAGAAAUGCUUAGAGGAGAUGGAUGGGUGUUUCUUGUGUGAAAUGCCAAUAAGUUGGGCUUGUACCUUUGUGGUUGAGCAAGGUUGGGAGAUAUCCAUCUUGUCACAGUUAAGGACCGAGUUGAUGUGCCAUCUUGCCUAACCCACUAUCAUGCAACCACUCAACCGUUGUGUGGGUGGCAGCUUAGCAUAAAUCCCACUAGCUGGUCUGUUAGCCAUCAGGAGAGCUGGUGAGCAACGAGAGACCAUGGAGAAAUACUAAAAACUGUGUGAACUUAGAUCCCGGUUAAGACCUCAUUGGAAGGUCGUUAACCCCUUGGUUGCUUCCGUGUUGGCUAGUCAGUCUUAGCUAAGGUGGGUAAUGGCUUUGAUAGGAUCUGCACCGACACUAAGAUGAUCGUGUUGCGGUACCCUACUUGUGGGUAAAGUGUAUAACCUCUGCAGAGUUAAAACCUAUCCGGGUAGCCGUGUCCACGGCAUUGGACGAGUUACAGCUUGGACACAUAACUAGUGUUUGGGUGAUGGAUGAUUUUCAUGGUGUGAGUUGGAUUUUGGAAGGUGUCCGGCAGUUGUGUCGUGAGCUACCAUGGACAGGGAGUCCGGUAGCAUUAAAACUUGGAUCCUUUGUGUAGGAUCAACCCCUCUUAUUGAUUCGGUUACUAAAGAAAAUAUUUUUUGAAAACCCUUUUGAAAAUGAACCUCUGCAUGUGUUGAAAAACCCAGCUUUAUGGCAAAUAAACCCGAGCUUAAUCCUUGAUAUAUCCUGUGCAUAUUCUUGAUUGUAUCCCCCUCCGUGGAUAGGGUUGGACUUGUUGGGUACUUUUGUACUCACCCUUGUUUUGGUUCUCCAGAGGAAGACCCGUACUUCGUCGAGGAUUUUGAGUAGGAGGUCGCUUCCGCACCCAACGCUACCUGUGGUGUUGGCCUUUGCAGAAUGCUUCCGCUGUCGCUUAGUUCCGAUUGCAGCCCAGAGUCCGACUGGACUGCAACUUAAAUCUAUAUCGUUGUUGGUUUGUUUCUCCUUUGGGUGUGGCUUGCCCGCCCGCUCCUUCGGGAGUUGUACGGUUUUUGAACCAUCUGUUGAAUAAAUGUGUUAGCAACCUUCUGGGACUGGUAUUUGUUUCAUAUUUAGCCUCCGCGGGAUGCUUCAUAUUCUCAUGUGAAACCUCAAAACAUUUAUUAUUUUUGUUUUUAUUAGAAAACACAUAACCAUCUUAGUUUUCAUAUGCAGAAAGGGGCUACUUUUGUGGAUGUCAGACUAAAGUAGUGUUUGCCUGCGAAUGAAAAUUACAUGUUCCUAACAUUUUUUGGGGGUAAAAAACAAACACAUGUUCGUCAUGGACCCUAUUUAUAGUGCUAGCUAAGAUAAAACAGAAAAAGAAUAAGGACAAGCUCUGUGAUUUUUCAUAUGAUAUUUUCAUCUGGUUCGACGGGCUUAUGCAGUAGUAAAAAGGACACAGAACUUUAAAGAUAGAGUGAUUAUUGAACUAACUAUUAAAAUAAUUUUAAAAUUUCAAUAAUAUCUAUGAAUCUAAAGUUAAAAUAACACAUAAUUUAGGAUGGAGGGAGUAAUAUUUUAUUUGUCGUUAUCUUCUAGUCAUGUUUUAAUUUUCUUUUUUCUUUCUUUCUUUUUUUUUGGCGCUGAUAAGCAUAGCUUUCUCAAUAUGGCUUGCUUGCUUUGUCUGAAGUACUUCAAGGGUGAAAGCUAAAGUAUGUGAUUCCUCAUUCUCCGCAGUCCGGAGCUGAUUGUAUUCUGUCGGUGGCUUGCAUGCUCGUAAGCUUGUUGUGGACUGCCAUAAACUGGCAAUAUAGAAACUGCCCAGGCUUUACCACACCGUACACUUUAUUUAUUGCUUGAUCCUGUAGAUCAACGCAAUGGCCCCUUCACGCACGCCUCACUGGACUGGUCCGACACGAUGCUGUAAACGCUGCUGGUCACGUUCCUCAAGUAGCAGCCGUCGGUGGCCUCGUACCUGUACGUCUGCUGGAUGCCCCACGACGCCCCGCGGACGCUGCUCCGCUGCGUGUUGCGCAGCGACUGGUACCUGGGCCCCGACGACCACCGGCCGGCGGCUACCGUCGUCUCCUCCAACCCGUGCGUGACGGUUACCUGGUCCGCUCCUGAGUCCAAGAAAAGCGGGAAGCUCUGGCGCGUCUGCACCGAGUAGUACAGGACGCCGGCGAGGCCCGUGGCGGCGACGCCGGCGUGCGCGACGGUCGUCUGGUUCACCGUCUCGCCGGCGUUGGUGUUGUCGAAGGCGAACGUCUGCGUGGCGUUCGUCGUGAUGUUCCCGUACGACGACUUCACCCAUCCGGUCGCCGAGACCUUCCGGCUCGCCGUCGUUCGGGAGGACGUCGUCGCCGCCGCUAACUCCGGCGCCACGUAGCUCACGAGGCCCGCCGCCGUCGCCGUGCUCCCAGGGUCAAGCCAGAGGUGGAGGUUGGCGUCGACGUACCACACGUCCACGGCGUUGGUCACCGCGAACGCGAACACGUGCGCCUUGCCGUCCAGCAUCUUGCCCAGCAACGGCGUCACCUCGACGUCGUACGUCGGGAGGUUGAAGGAGCCGAUGCCGGUGAUGGGCUGCCAUAGGAGGGGGUUGAUGCCGCCGGUGAAGAUGACGGGGAACGGCCACGCGGCGCCGGCGAGGACCCCGUCAACACGGACAGUGACCUCGCGGAACGGGCCGUUGGCGUCGGCACCGGGCUGGUUUGUCCACCAGAACUCGUCGUCCCCGUGGAACGACACAAAGACCUCCACGACCGCGCGGUACGUGUUGGAUGGCAACGUCACGCUCGUGGACACUGCGUCGGUGGCGUUCUGGAUCUUGUACCAGAGCCCGUCGUUCAGAGGCAAGCCUCUGGACAUCGGGACGAUGAGGUCGGCGGGAGCCACGGCGGGUGGCGGCCUCGUCGGCGUGCGGCGGAAGUAGAGGUGGAGCGUCACGUUGGCAUAGUACACGCCGGUGUACUGGCUGUUGACGAGGUUCUCGACGAAGACGGCGAGGGUGGAGUUGCCGGCGGCGAGGAGGGACGCGUACCUUGUGAUGUCCUUGGAGACGGACCACACGACGCCGUUCUGCAGCGGCUCGGCGGUGCUGCCGCGGAGGAGCUCGGCGCCGCCGAGCCAGACGCCGAAGAUCCUGUCGAACUGGACUCCCCGGCAGGUGGCGUGCCACUCGAGGACGGCGAGGGAGAUCGCCGUGGCGCGGCCGCCCGCCGCGGUGAGGCAGGGCGGCGGGGAGUACGCGGCGGUGGCGGGCGGCUUGGUGAAGGUGAACGCGAAGGAGCUGGAGAGCAGGAGCGUGGAGCACGGGCCGGAGCUGCCCGGUGGCGGGCGGAGCGGGCGGUCCACCUCGAAGAAGGUGGUCGGCCGCGACGCGUCUGCCGGAGACGGUGCGGCCGCGUCGAGCGCGGCGAUGUCGACCGGGGAUUUGCGUAGAUUACGAUGAGGUGAGGCGACGGUGGCUGGGACCAGACAAAGGAGAAAGACAAGGUGAAUGCAGGGCGCGGCCAUAGUUGAGACUUGAGACCACAGUGGAGGCAAUGCUCCCUGAGUCCUGACUGCGUGUAGCCGUGUAGCUUGGCUUAAAACUUUGCGGGAAGAUUGAUGAAGCCAAGCGUCCUUUAUUGCAUGAAAAGGACGGACCAUCAGGCCAACGUCAACCUGGAGGAUGCGUCCAUUCAUGGACGACCUGGAAAGUCUUUCAAAAUUCAAAGUCUUCCAUGGAUUCAAAUUCAAACUAAGGGGUCCUACUAAAUUUUAAGCACCUGUCACAUCGAAUAUUUGGAUACUAAUUAGGAAUAUUAAAUAUAGUCUAAUUAUAAAACUAAUUGUACAGAUGGAGUCUAAUUCGCGAGACGAAUGCUGUUGCAACGACGCAGGGACGCGCGUUUGUGUUCAUCGAGUCAUUGGACUAGGGCUCGAUUUUUUUAUUGAUAGUCACUUAAUAGAUUCGUCUCGCGAAUUAGACUCCAUCUGUGCAAUUAUUUUUAUAAUUAGCUCAUGUUUAAUCCUCUUAAUUAGCAUCUGAACAUCCGAUAUGACUCUGCUAAAGUUUAGCACCUCGUAUCCAAACACCCCCUAAAACCGUGAAAUCGGUGGCCAUACGGACACCGGCUCAAGCGGCGUCUCCCGGUCUAGUGACUAUCAAUAAAAAAAUCGAGCCCUAGUCCAAUGACUCGAUGAACACAAACGCGCGUCCCUGCGUCGUUGCAACAGCAUUUUAUUUAUUUAUUUAUUUAUUUUUUGAGAAAGCAAGUCUUUCAUCUUCAAGGACAAGCAUAGUUUGCAGCAACCAAACCAAGAUCCUACAUGGAUGAAAGAAUUCAGGAGGAUCAAGAACAGCUAAAAGGAGCUAGUGCGAUGGCACACCUACUAGAGGCAGUUGCUUGGCAAUUGGCAUGCUAGCUGCAAGCCUGCAAGAAGCUGUGGGCCUGUGGCACAUACGAGACCUUGUCCCCGUAUGCAACAAGAACGUUGUUCUCAUCGCAGGGCGUCAAGUCCUAGGUGAACCAGUAUAGACCUCUUAGGUUUUCUACGCCUUCCAAUCAGUAGAUUUGGCCAUAAGUGUCUAGUAUACGUGCUCUUCCAAUGAGUAGUACACAGUUUGAUCGGAGCAAAUGGUACAGUUGUUUUAUGCUUUGGCUUGAUCUGCCCGUUAUACUAGUCAUAUCUUGUCGCACUUCAUUUUCGCGCAGCCAUGCACCGCUACUGAAACAUUCAGAGCUGCGGAUGAGCUCGGCCAUGUCGCAUGUCGGCUCCAGCUGCCGCUCAGCCGCUGGUCCCGCCGCCAUGACGGGGCAGGAGCAUGGUGCUGCUUGUUCGCCUGAGAUAGUACAGGUCGGGAGCAUGCCCGGUUGCCAUUCAGGAUCAGGAAAUAGUUUGCCUAAACUUGAAUCUGAGCUGCAAAUUGACACCUUCGUUCGCAACAAAACAAAUAGGUUCCGGUCCUCCAAUAAAUAUUUUUCAAUAAUUAGUUAAUAAGGAUAUCCCAAUAUUACUUUCAUCGUUAUUGGGAGGGUUGCUUUUGCAGUCUCCCAAUAAUCUCAUCCUAAUAAAACUAUCAUAUUGUGAGAGUCAAGUUGGGUGAAUUAUUAGGUUGUCCCAAUAAUUAUUGGGAAAUGGAAAAGGUAAAGGAAGACUACCGGAGCACUAUGUUUUAUCAUAUCUUCUAAUAUGGUAGUUGGAUUGAGAAAAAUGAGACUAAGUGAGAGGCUCUUAUUCCAGGAUACAUCUUACGGUAAUUUUCUUUCUUCCACCACUUUGCAAAAGUAAACUAACACACACAUGCAGGGAUCUUUCUUACUUCGCUCCUUCAGCUCAAGCGCAGCAAAGGAAAAAACAAGCACAAGAAGUCAACCAUCUCCGAACAAUCAGCUUCAGUCUUACGAGCUCAGCCGCGCCGCUCCUGCACCCGCCGCCAGCUCCGCAACGCCGCCGCCGGGCGAUCCCUUGACGCAGGCCUCGUCGAAGUGGUCGGACACCACGGUGUAGCCGAGGCUGGUCACGUUGCGGAAGUAGCACGCGUCGGAGGCCUCGUACCUGUACGUCUGGCGCGCUCCCCACGACACCCCGACGGCGUCCCCUUCCUCGACGUCCACGUCCAUCUCGCAGUCCUGCGCGUUGCGCAGCGACCGGGACCAGAACCCCGACCUGCCAGCGGCGACCCGGUCCUCGCCGAGCCCCAGCCGCACGCUCCUCGCGAUGGUGUACGAGCUGUUGGAGGUCUGGUUCACCACGCCCACGAACAUGCCGAGCGCGAAGCUCUGCUGCGCCUCCUGCGAGUAGAGCACGCCGGCGGGGUCGGCGACGUGGGCGCCGGAGUAGGCGUCGGUGGUCUGGUUCACCGCCUGCAGGCUGCCGUCCUGGAUCCUGUUCGUGUUCUCGUACCCCAGCCUCUGCGUCCACGCCGCCGUGAUCCUGCCGUACGACGCCGUCUGCACCCACCCCGAGGCCGACACGUGCCGGAACGCCGUCGUGUAGUAGAACUCGUUGCGGGGGCCCUCAGGCCGGAACGCGAUCGUCGUGUCCAGCGGCGGCGCGUCGUAGCUGACGACGCCCGCCGUCGUCGCCGCGCACCUGGGGUCCAGCCAGAGGUGGAGGUUGGCGUCGACGAACCACACGUCCUGGGCGUUGGUCACCUGGAACGCGAUCUCGUGCUCCUCGCCGCCCAACAGCUUGCCAAGGAAAGCCGUGAGCUCGAUGUCGUACGACGGGAGGCUGAACGAGCCGAUGCCGGUGAUCGGCCGCCAGAUGAGAGGGUUGAUGCCGCCGGUGUAGACCACCGGGAACGGCCACACGGCGCCCACAAUGUCGCCGUCGAUCAGAACGUUGACCUCGCGGAACGGGCCAUUGUCCCUGGGUGUGUUCGUGUACCAAAACUCGUCGUCGGAGUGGUACGAGAGGUACACCUCGAGAACCGCACGGAACGUGUUGGUCGCACGACGACGCUCGCUGAUCCGACGUCGAAGCCGUUGUUGAUCUGGAACCACAGCCCGUCGUUCAGCGGCAGGCUUUGCGAGAUCGGCACGAUGACGUCGGCGGGCCCCAACCCGGGCUGCGGCGGCGCUGGCGGCGGGUGGCGGAAGUAGAGGUGGAGUGUGACUUCGGCGUGGUAGACGCCUGUGUACUGUUGGUCGACGAUGUUGCCGAGGUAGACGGCGAGAGUGGAGUUGCGGGCGGUGAGGAGCGACGCGUACUUGGUCACGUCCUUGGAGACGGUCCACUCGACGCCGCUCUGCCGCGGCUCGGCGGUGCAGCCGCGGAGGAGCUCGGCGCCGCCGAGCCAGACGCCGAAGAUGCGGUCGAAUUGGACGCCCCGGCACGUGGCACGCCACUCGAGAACGGCGAGCGAGAUCGCCGACGCGCGGCUGCCCGCGGCCGCCAGGCAUGGCGGCGGCGUGUAGGCGGCCGUGGCGGGGGGCUUGUUGUAGGUGUAGGCGAAGGAGUGGGAGAGGAGCAGAGUGGAGCACGGGCCGAAGCUGCCCGGCGGCGGCCGGUGCGGCCGGUCCACUUCGAAGAAGGUGGUCGGCUGAUCCUGCGGCGGCGGCGCGACCGCUUCGAGCGCCGCGACCUCGGAGGCGGAGAGACGGAGCUUGUGAUGAGGCGAAGCAAUGGAAGCCGGGACUAGGCACACGACGAUGACGAGGUGGAAGAGCACGCAAGAGCUGGCCAUGGCUGAUCCCCGAGACUCCGAGAGUGGAGGGAGUCAGGGAGAGAGGGCUUGUGCUUUGGCGCGCUUCUUGGAGUGGACGGAAUUUAAAAGGGCAGUGAAGACUGAAGAGUAGAAGUGAAGUAGAGCGCACUCCUGUUGCAGGGACCAUGUGAGAUGCUCUUAUUCCCUUAAGGAGUGACGGUAAAUUGGAAUGCAAGUCACAUAGCGACACUUGGGCUCAUCAACUGAGCUAAUGGGGCCUAAUGAUGUAGUUAAAUGUUUAAUCAGGUUUGGAUUGCAAGUUUAACUUGGUAGAUUCAUAGAAUGGGGCUCUAAGGUUCACUAACACAGACAGCUGGUGCAGGAAAUUAUGGUUAGUUUGCUAGUCACAUUUACAUGAAGCCGAACAUAGUCUUACGUUUUCAUGAAAUUUGAAGAUCAGAAGCAAAAGCAUCCAAAAUGGCAAGCUUGCUAUUUUUUCUCAGAAUACGCCUAAAAAAAUCAAAAAAAAAUUCUCAGAAUUUUUUCAUAGAAAUAAUAAAGAAACGAGCAGGACCUCAUGAACCUCUGCCUCGAUCUUUUGCAGGACAUGCUAAGAAACAGUGGUCAUUGUGGAGCCAGAAGGUCCUACCUGUCCAAUUCUGAAUGGCUGAAAUGUACUAGGUCCUACAGUGGUAUUAGAUGAAGUAGGAUAUUUGUUGCUGUCCUCAGUGGCCCUGGUAUCUGAAGUGGUGGCUGACUGGGUGGGCAACUUCGCGUUGCUUUGCUUUGGGGGCUGGCGGUUCUGAAUGAUUCCCUUACCUCUGAUUGGGAUGGUGCGCCUGUAAUAAGCAACAGUUCAGUGCCCACACUGGAUCUGUUCGCUUCAGCUUAUAAGCCGGCUGAAAAGCUGAAACGGCUGAUUUUUUGUGAGAGGAAAAUACUGUUUGGUGGCUGAUAAGCCGGUUGAAUAAGCUGAAGCGAACAGGCCAACUAUACCUGCAUACUAUCUGCCUGGGCAAGUGGGCAUCCUGCUUGAGCACCUGCUAGCGCUAGCAGUGGCGUCCUGGCUGCUAUGUCUCUGCAAUGACAAGUUGCCAACGACGGCGCCGUCGAUCAUGCCUGCUUCGGCCUUAGGAGGAACGAAGAAGUGGCGCAGCCGACGACGGGGUUGGGCGUAUUGGGCUGUUUUUAUUCGGGCCUUCACAUGCGUCCAGCUGCUGUCGUUUCGCUAUUCAGCGCUGGGCUGGGUCGUGAUUCUCCGCCUGCGGGUGGUGGUUUUUUACUGGCUGGAUUGGAACCUGAAGGCCCAAACCCGGCCUAACGCACAGCCGCCACCACCAGGCAGAUCAAAGUCUGGCUGGAGUACCCAGAAUGUGAGUUGCCACGGUUCACCGUCUUUUUGGUGUGUAUCUCCGUAAUCCUGCCGUAGAAGUUCUACGGUAGAACUGAUUUUUUUACGUGCAGUGACAUAGAAUUUUAUUACUACUGGGCAUCAUCCUGUGGCAGCCGUUUUACCAGACUCUCGCGAACACACGCAAUGACGCAAGCACGUAACCGCUCGUGCGGCCCCACGUUUGGAUCUACGCAAAUGAAGAAGCCGCGCGCAGCCAACGGCAAAGGCGCGGCGAACUGGUGAUCUCGUUGGACGGCGCUGGGUGCCUGGAUCGAUCGGGGUCGGGGCAUCGGCAUCGCAUGUGUCCGUCGUCUUCAGCCGGGCCUGCUGCACCAACCAUGUUCAGUCCCUUCCUGUUGGUCUCAUUCACCCAGCGCUGCAGCAGCCGUGCUGUACUGAACUGGCACCGUCCCAUGACCAGAUCCACCAUCUUUUCACUCGAGCGUGCAAAAAAGCGCAGGGAGCCUGGGAUCUCCCUUUUUUGACUGCUGACUGUGACUACCAUCAACCGUGCAUCUUGCAGCCCUAGGCCCUGGCGUGCCCGUGCUAAAGAUUCAGUCAGACUGUCAGAGCGUCCCCGUGCCUGUCUUCUGUUCUGCUUGCGGGGCAAACAGUGUGGCUUCUGUGCUUGGAUCGAUCGGGCCUGCGGAUCCAGCUGAAUGCUGCGGCUCAGCGGCUCUAUGAAAGAAACGCAGUCAGUGGAGUGUAGUUGAGCAGCUCUGCUGUAGGCAAUGCGCCCAUGUGGCAGUAUUAGCCAGCUAAUCUAAUGGUACGCAAUCACGCAGCCGCGAUCCGUCGCGAUUCGUGAGCAGUGUCCCCCGGCCCACCUCGCGAGCAGGAUCAGCUCCGGCGACGGCGAGUUGGACGAUCCCUUUCAGCGCGUGACCAUUCUACUCGGUAGCGUCCUGCUCCGUAAUUGCACAAGGACGUUACUGACGUGGCCGUGUCACCUCAUCGGGAAAACUCAUCAGAUUUCUCAACACCAAUGAUCUGGUGGCACGGCCACCAUCCCGUCUGGCGGUCUGGGCAUCUGGCACUCCGGCGAUGGCCGGGCCUCUGCGCCGUGUCGCCGUCGCAGCUCCAGACGGGGGCCAUUUGUCCUCUGCACUGCACCCAGAAUAUCAGGCCUGAUCUCAUCAUGCGUCUGUAGAGAGAGGUGUUGAGCAGGCAGCCAGGCACUGAAUGCUGAAACAGUGGCGUCGGGAACAGCGAUGCGCGGCCAGCGCAGCGUCUGUACCGAACCAAACCAACCCCCCUCGCCGUUGCGUUGAUUUCGGGCACCGGCUCGUUCUGACGGCGGGGAGCUCCUUUUCUCCCUGCUUCUCCUCCUCCUCACAAACCGGCAAGGAGCCAGAGGAGCCACGAAUCGGCUCCGGCUCGUUUCGUCAGGCGUGUGUGGGCUGUCCGGCUGGUCAACUCCGGCUGCCAGCGGCGGGGAGGAGGGACCGGGAUUAAAUUAGCGGCAGUGCAUCACACGCUAAACUAGGAGUAAACUAAAGGCGGCGAGCAAGACGAGCAGACGGACAGGCAGGGAGAUUCCGCGGCGGCCAGCCAGCGAGGGGAUCGUACGGGCGGGGAGCUGAGACAGAUGGCGUCGGGGGGCAGUGGACCGGGACCAGAGGGGUGUGGGGGAAAGCGCCCAUAAUUUCCAAGGACGGCGGCCACUUUUCGCAUGGCCCGCCGCCCCUAGUCCUCCUGGUCCCGGCGCCCGGCGGAGCUGCUGGCUGCUGGACCAUGCGUGGCAUGCUCGGCGUACCCGUACAGUACGUGCGGAGCCUCAUCUGCGCUGCCGAUACCCAGUGAUUUCUUUUUGUGGUGGUGGGAACGUGGUGGAUCAGAUCAAGAUGAGUUUCAGGACUUGCUCCAAGGGUCAUGAGAAGUGGCAAUUUUUCUCGUGGUCAUGAAAAAGAUGCAGUACAACUCGCACAAGUCGUGGAUUGUUACAGUACCUGCUAGUUGUCCUAGAGAAAGUUCAGAACGAAGAUGUCCAAAAUCAAAUGCUUAUGGACAUGAGAAAGAUGUGGUGAAACUGCUACUCAAUGUGUUAAAAAAAUACUGGUGAAGUAAUGGCCAGUCUUACUGGUGCUUAGACCAGGUUUGGUGGAUGGUAGUAACGACUGACAACACUCGACGGUAAACCGUUUUAUUGGCAGUGGACCAUGUAAAACAGCGUUUGUGUAAACACGAAGCAAACCUGUACAGCUUCCCUCUACCAGUCUACCCUACACACAAGCUGAGAUCAUUUCGCUCGACAGAUCUCUGGUUGGCUGCCUCGUCCAGUCGUCCUGAAAAGCACCACAGUCCCUGUAGGCACAUAGCUAUGGACCAGCACCUCUCUGAAUCCAUGGAUUGCACCCAACAAAUAGGAUUAAACAGAACCAGCAAAAAAUUAUUUAAAAAAAUGCAGGCCAGAGACGAGACCGAACAGAUCCAGUCUAUACCACGCAUUUGUUACCGUGUGUCCCACACGCAAGAAAAGAAAUGCGGCACACCUACCCCGCCACAGUACGGCAGCAGCUACUCCUUCCUAGUACUGAGCCCAGCUGAAUCCGGCGAUGCCUCCCCAUCACUGAAUCCGAGUGACAUCACCGGAUAUGAUUCGGCUUUACCCCGCGCUGCCCCACCGGAAAAUGAUGCCGCGAGAAAAGUUUUACUCAUGAUCACGCUGCCUGCCCUGCCACGGGUCUUUCUUUUACUAUCUUUUUUUUUUGUUUGAACUGGGACAGACAAGCAGGACGGGUCGUUUAUUAUGGAGGCAAGCGAUGGCGCCACAGCAACAGGGAACCGUGCAGGAGCAUUCAAAUCGGAUGGAGCAUAGCUCCAGGCCUCCAGCUCGGCGCGCUGGCUGGCUGCGUGUGCCAACAACCGGAACUGAAUUCGCUGUCCUGAAUUCAGUUGGAAGCAGAGCAGAUAUGGUCCCGUUCCGUUCCAGUAAUUCUCCCAAGCUUCCCCACCACCGUGUCAGCUUCCUUUAUCCAGGAAAAAUCUUGCAUGACGGAAAGGAAUCCACAUCCGGUGAAAUGAAAUUCGCAGUGACAUUGGAGCAAAUCGUGUGCUUUUCAGUGUAGCAGAUCUCCAACUUCUGAAUUCUGAUCCCGUUGUGGGUAUGAAGGAAAGAGUUUAGAUUCGCAGUUGACUUGUAUACAUUUGCAGAGCCCGAGUUUAGUUAGAAGCAUCUUGAUCUCAAAAGCAUAAUAGUGCAGGGAAUGGUUUGUGUGCGGUGAAGAUAUACGAGGCGAGGAGGUGUGUUGCCAACUUGCCUGUUGAACUAGACAGGAUCAUGGAAGCUCCACUGCCACCUACUCUACCACCAUCAUUACUAUACUGUACUUCAAGUACGAAAGUGCUCACAUAAACACCUGACCUGAUAAUUAGGCCUAGCCUAGGAAUCCAAACCUCCCAAAGGGACAUCUUCUCAAAAGAAAAAUCAGCAGUAACAGGGUACCUGCAAUGAUUCAACAAGUUCUCUAACACAAUCAUAAUCCUCUUUUUUUUUCCUCCUCACAAUUUCAAAAUCAAUUCUUCUUUUUCCGUAACAGUUUAAAAUCAACACAUAUGUUCAAGUUCAGUGCUCCUGUAUGCAUCAGCUCAAGUGAGCCUUUGUCCAGUUGUCCCCAAUCUCAGGGGGUGUUUGGAGCUAAACUUUAGCCGUAUCACAUCAGAUGUUCGGAUGCUAAUUAGAAGAACUAAACAUGAGCUAAUUAUAAAAUUAAUUGCAGAACCCAUAGGCUAAUUCGCAAGUUAACUCAUCAUUAGCAAAUAGUUACCGUAGCACCACAUUGUCACAUCAUGGACUAAUUAGGCUUAAUAGAUUCGUCUCGUGAAUUAGACUCCAUCUGUACAAUUAGUUUUAUAAUUAACCUAUGUUUAAUACUCAUAAUUGGUAUCAAUAUCCGAUGUGACAGGUGCUAAACUUUAGCACGAUUUUUUGCUCAGGACACUGCAGCUGACAUGACCAGAAAAACACUGUCGCCGCCCACACAAAUCGCACUCCCCAAGAUCCCUCCCGCGAGUCCAAAGUCCACGGUGACUUCCGGCACGGGGAAUAAAACAACAACACGGACGACCAGCAAAAACCGCGGCCCGACCUGGCGACCCCUGGCUGGAACAGCAAGCAAGCAAAGCCAAGCAACCCGGCACAAACACACGCACGCACCCACCUGCGGCGCUGGACCCGAGCACACACCCAUCCAGCCGCCCGCUCCUCCUACCCCCGCACCCUCGUGCCGUGCCGCCGCGCUGCCUUUCCUCCCCGCGUCCCUUUCGUCCCGCACCUUGUCGGAGACCGACGCGCCCCCCCUCCGCUCCCUCCCCUCCUCCCCUUCGCCCUCCACGGGUCGGCGUCGCCUCCACCUCCACCACUACUCGUGUGCGCCUCACCCCCGCCCAGUCCGCCUCACCUCACUCCGGCCCCCAGCAGCGCGCCCUGCUCUUCCUUGCGGAGGCGGCAACCGGGCAGGCGCCCAGAGCGACCCGGCGCACCUGCUCCCACUCCCGCCGCGCCACCAGAAAAGUAGCCGUUGCGGCGUCGCGUCGGCGGGCGUCUAUACCGCGCGCCGGGGCUGCAUGAGGAGGGCUCCCGCCGCGGCCGCGCGGACCCGGUGAGCUGAGCAGGAGGAGGCGAUGCCGCUGGUCAGGUUCGAGGUGCGGAAUGAGGUGGGGCUCGGGGACCCCGACCUCUACGGCGGCGGCGGCGGAGGAGGAGGCGGGGUAGGAGGAGCUGCCGUCGGGACCGGAGCGGCGGGGAAGAGGGGAGCGGCCGCCGCCGGGGAGGAGGAGCCCAAGGCGCUGCUCGAGGGCGUCGCCGUCGCGGGGCUCGUCGGGAUCCUGCGCCAGCUCGGAGAUCUCGCGGAGUAAGGCCCCUCCCUCUCCCUCGCUGCCUCUCGCUACCCGCUUCAUGUGUGCUUCGGCUCCGCGGCUGUGCGCCUCUUUGUGGUUCCUGGCUGGGAUCUGCCGCGCUACGAGUUUGGCGGCUUCCGGCGAGGACUUUGGCGCUGGUUGGGGAGUUUGGUUACAGCCUGUGAGUGCAGUGAUAUGAAGUAGUGGGAUCUGGUGUUGAGGUGGUUGGAUUCGCUUAGGGCAAAAGAGCCGAGUGCUGCGCUAGAGGAAUAGGAAUUGUUAGAGAGCAGUGUUUCUGUGUGCAGGCCUUUGAAAAUUGUGGCUCUACCUGGACGGAAUUGAAUGUCCCUUUUUUAGCACCGGUGACAUUUGGAGGUUCUGUUUUAUGAGAUCCAGUUACUUGGGACUGAAUCAGAUGGUGCUAAAUUUCACGUUUCCGGUCCAACGUUUGACGUAACUGCUGUGCCUGCUAGUAUCAUUUAUGUUAUUUUUGGCCACAUUCGCUUGCUUUAGGAGGCAUGCUUUGCUGAAUUGGUGGGAAUUGAUUGUGUGCUUUGGGUAUGGCAUCGAGGUUUUAGGAAAGAUCUCGUGCUACCUUUGAGAGUUUGUGUUGCGGAAGUUAUGAUGUAACGGGCGAUUCUGAAAGGUUCUGGUUUAGGUUGUGUAGUGGUUGACUGGGCGCAUUUCGGAUGGCUUGGUGUUGUUAAAUGCUUGUCUCAAGGGGUCUUUGCAAAUUUUGGUUGGACAAUCUCCGUUGCUGCUAUCAAUUUCCGUUUCUUGCUAAUAAAAAUUGUUGCCACUCUGAGGAACUUGUUUUCAUCUAUUAAUGCUUCUAUGGUUUUAUUUUACCUUUUCUCUUGUAUAAAUGGUCUCCAAGUUGUACUUAGGUUAGGUACCAUGGUUCUUGAUAUACUACUAUAUGUAUCAUAACAGUAUUUGGAAAAAGCAAUGUGCUAGCUUUCGGUUGGCUUCAAUGGGUGCUGUUUAAGUUCUCUAUUUACCAUGCCUAUGCUUAUAGAUACUUUGUUCAUACCAGAUUUGCAGCUGAUGUUUUCCAUGACCUACACGAGCAAGUUAUCGCUACAUCUGCUAGGGGGCGUAAGGUGCUAACUCGAGUACAGAACAUUGAAGCAGCACUUCCAUCUCUUGAAAAAGCUGUGAAGAAUCAGAAGAGCCACAUACAUUUUGCCUAUGUACCGGGUCAGUAUCCAUCCACUUCGUCAAUGUCUAAAAAUACCCUGAUCAAGAGAAUCCAUCCUGUUAAUGAAAUAUCUAUCAUAUGUGCCCAAUUCUUUGAUAUAGGAUUAUCGUGCAGUUUUACUGAAUUGAUUGAUAAAACACAGGCUCUGAUUGGCACACUCAGCUUCAAAAUGAGCAAAAUCACCUGCUAUCCAGUGACCUGCCUCGUUUUAUGAUGGACUCCUAUGAAGAAUGCCGAGAUCCACCACGUCUUUACCUUCUUGAUAAGUAAGUACUAAAACUUUCCUUCAUAAUCUUUUUUUUUGUAUCUAAAAUUAUUGCCCUCCAGAUUCGAUAAUGCUGGUGCUGGGGCCUGUUUAAAGAGAUACUCUGAUCCGUCCUAUUUCAAGAAAGCAUGGGAUAUGAUGAGAGCAGACAAGACUACUAAUCACCAAAGAGAAAAGAGAUCUCAGAAAAUCAAGGUCUACUCUUCAUUCUCAGUAUCUGAAGUUGAUAUUUGUGCUUAGUUAGCUCUCUUGAAAUUCAGCACAUGUUACACAUAAGAACAUGAACAACCAACCGGCCAACCAAUCUACGUGUGAUGUUGAACCACUAAGCGAACAGAUUUAUAAAUUAAUGGGCACAAUCAUUUUGUACUUCACAUCCACUUCAGUUCAAAAUCAGAAUAUUGUUCUUGGGAAAUAUAAUGAUACAUGAAAGCAUCUUUCACUUUUCAGUUUUGAGAUACCGUAUGGGAUGGUAUCAUCAUCCCUUUUAUCCUUCUAGGCUAUUUUCUCAUGUAAGAAUGAAGUAGCUACUCCUUAAAAAAGGCUGACAAGAAUUGGAUUUGUCGUUGUGCUUGAAUAUCUUUAGAAGCAUAACUUCAUAAAGGGUUAACCUAUGAGGAUAUCUUGAUAACUGAUAAAUGCAUCGCUGAGUCACUUUGCUUCAUUGCUUCUGUUACCAAAGGAGCUCCUUUCCUGCUUCAUAUUUGCUUUCAUAAAUGGUUAAUCUACGAAACGAUAAAUGGUAACUUCUGAAUGUAUUACUGGGCCACAAUGCUUUGUUGCUUCUGUUACUGAAUAGUUGUGGCUCCCUGAUGUUUUGUGCUAGUUUGGCAGAUGUAAUCUUUUGUCAUGUUGGGGACUUGCUUAAAGACUUAAUAGAGCUUAUGAACUUGUACAGAGAAAAGGAUCGCGACUAAGGGAGCCAUAUCAUGGACAAGCCACAUCCAGGCAUAGGAGUGGUGAAUUGCAGCGAUCACUUACUGCUGGCCAACCUGUUAACAGGUGUUACAUAUUCCAUCCUUUAAGAUGCAAUAAUUGUGUAUCCGUCUUCAUCUUCCAUGGCUAUUCCUUUUAUAUUUGAAGGACACACCUAGAACAGCAGUAUUAAUAGCGUGUUUUCCUGCAGGCCGUUUGCAUCUCCCAGCACCGAUGGUCAGAGUUUCUCAGAGCAUAGAUCUACACCUGAUGCAAGAUGUAAUCCUGAGAAUAUAAGCAGAUCUUCUUCUUUUAGUUCAAAGACACGGCUGAGUUCAGUAGACCAAGCUUUAGAUACAAAACCUUCCACUGUUCCUCAUGAAAAUGGUCAUGGAAAGUCAUCAAAUACUAAGCUGCACAAGCCCAGCGACUUGCCUUUGCGCAUACAACAUAGCAGUACCAGUGUGGAUGAUGCAGGUGAUGAUUUGAAGCAAGGUUCCCUGCCAGAUGAUGUGGUUGCUAGAUCGCCUUAUGUUAAAUGGGAUGAAAAGGCUGCAAUUAUCAUGUCUACUAGUUCUGUCUACUGUGAUGAUGUUGUUAUGGAUAAGGCUGAAGAUGCAGAGCCUACUUGCAUUAGCUCUGCGCAGAAAGAAAUUGACCAUAAGGGGAUGGAUACUUUGGAGCAGCAAGAUGCCUUACUUAAAAAGACAAAAUCACCAUUGGUCUUGAACCACCAUGAUGAAAUUCCAGGUGAAACAGACAACUACAUGGAUGCACUUAACACACUGGAGUCUGAGACAGAAACUGAAGCUGAAUCUCAAACUAAAAAUCAAGUGAUGCCAUUACCUUCCUUUAAUGCUGAAGCACCUCAAGUGGGGGCAACUGAUGACAUUGUUUCACAGCAUCCUGAUUCCUCUGUUGCCGAUUUUACUGACACAUGUCAAGAUUCUAAUAUUUCUUGCACUUCUGAAAGAGCAGUUGAUUUCCCCCACUUGUCAAAUGCAGAUUCUCCUGAGAUUUCGCAGCUAGAGUUUUCAGAAUAUACAUCUGUAACUACGUAUAAAGAGUCAUCUGUUGUCACUAAAAUCCAUGAGAGUAGCAUGGAGGGUGCUUGUGGAGAUCCUUAUGAAAUUUCAGAGCCGGAACUGCAAGUCCAUACAGCCAUACCUCCCAAUGGAAGAUCCCCUGUUCACAAUCAAAUACCUGAGAGUAAGGCAGAAGAUGGUCUUGGAGACACUCCUGAGAUUCCAGAACCAGAGGUCACCUAUAUGGUUAUUCCGUCCAAUGAAGAGUCUGCUGUUGCCAACCAAAACCUUGAAAGCAACGUAGAAAAUACUGGUGAUUUUACUGAUGAUGCCACUGAUGAUGUUGUAUCCGGACCUACCAUUUCCAACGUGGUGAUUGAUGAGGAAGCUUUCGAGAUGGCACCUGCUGCUAAAAGCUCACCUGGUGAUAUUGCCAAUGAAUCAUGGGUUGUUUCUGAAAGUAGGUCUCAGGAUUAUCCCGGAGAGAAGCAUGAGGAACUAGGUGAUUGUGGUGUGUCUGAAGUGUCUCAGUCAUGGAGUGAGCCUCGUAAUGAACCAUCAGAGAAUAGGUCUGCAACUCAAGAUGUUCCUACAAAUACCUCUACUACAUCUACUGGUGCAAGUGAAGUGUCUAAUUCACAGGGUGAGCCUCUUAAGGAACCAUUGGAGAACAGAUUUGCAACCCAAGGUAUUCCUACAAAUACAUCUACUGCAUCUACUGUAGUACCGUCUGUUAAACUCUGGACAAAUGCCGGGCUCUUUGGACUUGAACCAUCUAAACCUCCAGUAUUUGGUGCCCAAGAUACUCCAAGGGAGGAUACUCCACCUGGUUUUGAAGUACCUCAACCAAGCCAUUCAACUGAAUUCACAGAACUACAUUGUUCAAAGCCUAUUGAAUCAGCAGUUGUAGAUGUUCCGAAUGGAAACACAUCAAUUACCAGCAGCUUCGUGGGAAAGCUUGUUGGCAUCCGUCCUGGUUCUACAAACCUCAACGGCACAGGGGCAAAUCAAUCAGCGGCCAGAAUACCUGACCAAGUUCAUAGUCGAACUGAUGGGCCCUCAGAUUUUUCCUCCUCAUCCUUCGAGCAUAAUAAUAUGAUUGGCAAGCAGACUUCAAUAAGUGAGCUUCUAGAAUCUGAAGAAAGUGCUGAAAAUUGCACUGAAAUGUACUCAACCAACAUGAGAAAUGACAUGCAUAUGGUGUCUGCAUCAAGCUUUUCAAGUAUUGCACAAAGAUUUCUUGCUAAUACACUUCAGAGAAGAACUUCUCCCAAAUAUACCGAUCUUCCUAUGUCAUCUGAGAGACCAAAUGCUGAUGCAAGUGUGAAUGAUGAAUCUACCCUAAAUCCUAUUGCAGAACCAAGUGGAACAGUAUUCACGGAUGAAUCUCAGUUUGAGAACAGAUCAGAAAAUGGAAUGAAUGGAUUGUCCAAAUCAUCAAUCUUUUCCAGCCGUCAAUACUCUGAGAAAUCGUCUCCGCCACUUGAGUAUAUGAAAAUAUCUUUUCACCCCAUGAGUGCAUUUGAGAUGUCAAAACUGAACCUAGAUUUCUGUGAUGGCAAUCUUCAUGAGAACUCUGAUGAUAUGAUGUUACCAACAUUUCAGUUGCUGUCAGAGUCUUCCAUUCCACAGCCAGGCAGUGGUUCUGAGUCUGAAGAUGACACUUUUGGUAGGUCAUACAGUUAUUCUUCAUACGAUGAUCUAAGUCCACGUUUAUAUUCAAAUUCUGAGGUGUGGGAUCAAGAAGACGGAGUUGGACUGGAGGAACAUGAAUUGUAUGGCGAUUCUAAUCAGAUAGGAUCCUCGACAGUACCUUUAUCUAGCUACGCGGGAUUUGAGCAAAUGAACUUGUCUGGUGUGAAGUCAACUAUUUCACUUGCAGAUAUUGGGGAUCAGAAUGGACUAGGCACAUUAGAAUCCCAUUCUGUUGAAGAACUUCCAAACUUUGAUACAUUAAUGUCCAGAAACGACGAUCAAAACGAUGAAGCCUCCAUUCCACACAAUCCACUGAAUUUACCACCAGCUGAAGAUCAGUUGCCACCACCACCUCCUCUUCCCCCAAUGCAGUGGAGGAUGACGAGACAAACAACUCCACUAGAAGAGGAAAGAGGCAUUACAGCUAAAGAUAUGUUUAGGAAAUCUUCAUGCCUACCACAUGUGCACACCUCUGCCCAGGAAGAACAUCCUCUUCCAGCUGCACUACAGGAUCCACAAGGGCAUGCUAAGGAAGUGGUAUGGACCAUUUAUUUGAUUGACCCUGUUUGAAUACUUGCAUUGAUAACUGUUGUUAUAUCUUGUUGAUGAAACUGUAUACUUGGUAUAUGUAGGAUGUCCAGAAAACUGAUGGUGUAAAAGAAAUCAUUAAUCCUUCUAGUAUCAUUGAUAUCAAAUCAAGUUUGCUUCAGCAGAUCAGGGAUAAGGUUUGUUCUGCUCUUUUAGUUGAAAAAAAUCUGAUAUGUUAUUCUUUAUAGUCUUAUACUGCUGUUAAUAUACUGCUUACAUGAAAGGAAAUGUGGACCUUCUUUGGAUUCGAGAGACCUCACAUUUUUUUGGGUUUUUUAAUGGUAAAAUACAUUGACAUAACCGAUAGGUUAGUCCGAAAGGAAAAAAGGAAUGCGGACCAUGAAUCCAACUACCUGUGAUUCAUAAAAGCAAUCUGAUAUUCUGAUCCACAACACUGUUUGGCGUAUACUGACCAUGUCCUGUGCCCAUUUAUUUUGCCAACUAAAACAAGUACAAGGCCCAGUAUUGAUCAAUUGAUUCUUGAAAUUAGAAAGCUCAUUACCAAUUUUAUGGCUUCUGAUUGUGGCAUACACUUUCUGAUUCUUUUAUUCAUUUGCCUAUCCAACUAUCACAGUCAGAGCAGCUGAAGCCUAAUGGACAUGAAAGGUCAAAAACAGUAGGCAGUGACAUUAAAAGCUUGGACGAAAGGGAGGAGUUGCUUCAACAAAUCCGGAGCAAGGUAUCUUUGAAUAUGCAGACCAUUGUACUUGCAUAACAGCCUGUUGGACCCUGUGACUUGAGAUUUCUACAUUCUUGCCUGGCUGCCUGCAUGAUAAUGAGAGCCAGGAGCUCUCCUAUAAUGCUUAACCAACCCAUCAAUAUGUUUGUCUUGUGCAGACCUUCAAUUUAAGACGGACAAAUGCAUCUAAGACAGACACCUCAUCACAAUCAACAGCCAAUUCCAACGUUGUGGCAAUUUUGGAGAAGGCAAAUGCUAUUCGACAGGUUAGUAUUGUGCCAAUUCCCCUUUAUGUUAGUGUUUGGGCUGUUCUUUUGUUUCCUCCUGAUUAGUUCCAUGUUAUCAGGCUGUAGCCAGUGAUGAGGGAGGUGAUGAUGAUAACUGGAGUGAUAUAUGACACCUAACUGCAGAUGUGUAUGGUACUCCUUUUCUGUAUAUUCAGCUAUUACAAGAUGAAGUGAGAAAAAUGUGAAUAACAUCGUUUUCUUCAUUGUAAUUAGAUUUUGUAGGUCUGUUUCUGUACCUUUUUUUAGUUCAUAUUAGCGUAUUCUACCUUAGGUCUCUAUGGCUGUGGAAAUGUCAGAUCAUUUCUACAUGAUGUAAAUCUUUCUUUAUUAUUUAUUUACGAUAGUGAGAACAACUGAU
RNAcentral lists this long non-coding RNA (45892 nucleotides) under Setaria italica (foxtail millet). Its description in RNAcentral is "long non-coding RNA (SITA_LNC003616)". The record is from RNAcentral. Lineage: Eukaryota; Viridiplantae; Streptophyta; Magnoliopsida; Poales; Poaceae.